UUUUUUUUUUUUUUUUUUUUUUGGGUAGGGAUGCCAUCCCCUAAUUUAUUUAUAUCGAAAAAAGAAAUACAGCGAAUUAGAGGGGACCAAACCUGACCUCUGUUGAAGUAAAAAAGAAAGACAGUUAUGGAUCAAACAUAUAAAAGAACCAAUAUGAUUCAAACACAUAACAGAUCAAUCGAACGAAAUCAUCCACAUGAGGGUGCCCCACAUUUGUGGGAUUGUGAGCGAGCAUGGAAAUUUGGUUUAACAUCUUGACGUGUUUGCAUUGUUUUACCUUUUUUUGAGAUUUGCUUCCUCGUUUUCUUUGAUAUCACUUGGGUAAAUUGCUCGAGAACUAGUUUCUGGUCAUGAUAUUUGUCGUUAUCAUGUUGUGAAUCAUCCUUUCUCUCUUCAUUUUUGUUAUCAUUGUAUUUUGUACUUGAAUGAAGAAAAGGUUUUAGAUGAACGAGAGGAAUCUUACCAUGUAAUUUCUCCCAUUGAAACUCUUCGAACACAUCUUUAAACUGUGGCACAUCUUCAAACCGGGACUUUUCCGUUUCUGUUCUUGUACUUGUCCCCAUAAGGGGUGUGUCUCCAACUAAUACCACAUUAUGUGGAUCAUGACUUUUGUCUACCUUCUCAAGUGCAUCGUUUCCCACUUUAGACAUAAUUUGCUUACGUUGCUGUGAAGAGUCGCUAGUAUCCAUCGCCUUCUCUUUCGAUGCAGCCUUUGUGAAUGUUCUAUUAGCUGGUGAAUGGCCAUCCUCAGACUCCGAAUCAGUGAAUUCCCCCUCAUCAAGUUGGUUCGUAGCUUGGGGCUUUACCGAACGCAUCUCUUCAGUUUCCCGAAACACUUGAUCAGCCAACUUAUGAAUGAUUUCACCUGCGGUAGAAACAAUGGUCUCCUCUACUAACGCAGCGACAGACAACCGAGGCUGCUGGGGUUGGGGCGAGGGGGGCGCCGCUGUAUGCUCAACCCGUAACUCGCCCUCUUCCUGCGCGCUUUCUUCCUCUAAGGCAUUACCCCCAGGUCGCUGCACCUCCGGCGUCAGAGUAAGAGCCCCAGGCCUCUCCGUGGAAGUCACCGCAUCUCCCAUAGUUAUCUUGUCCGACACCUCACUGCCGUUUGUCUCCUCGAUAGCUGCUGUCGUACCCUCCUUGUUGCUCGUAGCAGUGGGUUUCAGCCCAUGAGUUCCGGCCCCCUUUGCUGGUUUGAGCGCAGGGUUCUUCCUAAAGCAUUCCGCUUCCGCGUGGCCGGCGCGCUGGCAAAAGGAACAGAAUGCAGGCCAGCUCUCGUAGUCGACUUGCUACCAGUGCCCAUAGGUGUCGUCUCCUAUCCAUAUACGCUUAACAGGUUCCAUGGCCAAAUCUACUUCAACCAGAACCCGAGCCACCGACGGCCGCUUGAAGGAGGAAGUCGCGGAAUCUGCUUGCAAGGGGCGACCCAACAGCGACCCCAGUUUCAUCAGGUACUUCAUAGUGAAGAGUGGUAAGAGAAGGCCCGGGAAGCAGACCCAUACAGGUGCUAUGGAGGAGUCUUUGUUGGACUUGAAAUCUAGCGUCCAUUUAGAAACAGUCAUUGGAGAGUUGUGAAUGAACCAGGUCCGCCGCACAAAGAGCCGUGUGUAGUCCUCCUCUGUUGAAGGUUGAAUCAGCACGUGGUUCGCAUCCAAUAAUCCCACCGAGCACUCCCCUUCAGACCAAGGGUCACAAAGAACUUCCUAAUCAUCUCCAUGGAUGGGCGGCGCAGGGCAAAACGCCCCACCAGUGCGUUCUUGAAAGGCUCCGCCAGCAACGACAGUUCGCUUCUGGACAGGAGCAGCGCCGGCUCGCCGCGAUAUGCACCCAGCCCACCUAGGUCUGGGCCCGUCAACGCGCUGCAUGGGUUCCCCACCACUGCGGCAAAGGAUUUUGCCGGCACGGUGCCCGUGCUGGCACCAAUGUUCGGCGGCCAAGCGGCCGCCAUGGCAGACUACCCUAGAAACUUUCGGGAUAGAUAACAAGAUAAAGUGUAGAUAUGAAGGAUUGCCGGCUGACUUUGGGACUUGAAAUAGAUGAGGAACUAAAACUUGACAAAGUAAAUUUUAGGGGCUCCCUAAGUAGUUUAGUGUUUACUUUUAAAACAUAACUCUUUUUUAAUAGAGUCUUAAACAAAUCAUAAAUCACACCGGUCCAAAAUUUUUCUGAAAUUGAAAUUGAUUUUCAUGGUUACCAAUUUCUAGUCUCAGUGCCCUUGGUUCUACCUAUAUGGUCAGUAUGUAAACCAGCACAAUUUAUACAAAAAGGACAAGCUAGAUUCUUUCCUGUAGUUGUCAGUGUUGCCUAGUUUGUGAUUUAGAAGACCAAUAAUAUUUGCUUGAUAUUUAGGCUUUUCCAUUAGAGAUGGCCAAUAAUGUCCAUUAAAGUAUGUAACUCAAACUUCAUCAGACUUGAUGCAACUUCAGAUAUCAAUACAUUCCAAACUUAAAUCAGAAAUAAUAUGCCUUUUUUGUAUCAAGACUUCUUCAGUUCAAGUUGGCACUGGUUAGAAAUAGAAUUCCUCCCAGGCCAGAAACUUGAGUAUGAUGAAUCACCGUUGUGUAGCUUUAGAAACUUGAGAUUAGUUUGUUUGAUUGGUUUACAAGAUCACUGCAUAUAUGUAUCAGCUGUUAAUCAGCCAAGCUUCAGUUGAGUACAGAUCAAUUUGAUCGCGAGCUUCAGGCUAAAAAGCCUAGUUUUCUGACUAGGCAAAAGGGAAAACAGGACAAGAAAAUUUCAGUUGUAAGAAAGUUCUUGAGAAGGCAUAAUCAGAAAGCGAAUUUCACUCCCAAACAGGACCAUGAUUUUGGGCACAUUUGCAUAUAAAUAAGUCAUCCGACAAUACUUUAUGGAAACAUCAAUCAACAACAAUAUCAGUAACUAGAAACAACUCCCAAAUCAAAAUGCAGUUAUUUGCAAAGUAAACAAACCAAUCUGUAUCAUUUGUCGAUAUUUAUAACCAAAAAAAAUAAAGAAAGAAGAAGAAAAAGACAAGGAAACCCUUUUAAGCUUUUCUUGAGCACAACUUGGAAACAUCUCAGGCUUGUAUAUAUCUCAUUCAGAGCUCAGGGACCAUCUGAUGGCCUCCAAUAUAUAUAAAAACCAAGCAUUAGCCACGAAUCAUUUAUCCCUGCAAAGUAUGCAUGGAAAAAAUUAACACUUCCCAAUUAGACAUUGAGAUUCAAUGGAACUUGUUAAAGAAAAAGAAAAAGAAAAGGACGUGCUUUUGAAUUACACUAGUACUUGGCUUAAUACUAGUAUGAAGAAUUCUAGUCUUCCGUCAAUAAAUGGUAAUGAAGCUCAACAAAAAAGUCGAAAAGUGAAGAGAUCGCCUGAUAUAUAUACCUAACACUGCAUCAACAACGCUGAAAAGUAAUUGAAGCAAUGUGUUUGAUUUUAUCAAAAUCCUUGCCUUCUCGACCAUCUAUAACUUUAAUUCUAUCAACAAAAUACGAGGCAUGCCAAAAAUAAUCACUUCUUUGAGGCUUGCAACAUCUUCCAAUCCUUCUGGAAUCAUUUCCAACAUUUGGCAUCUAGAAAUCUGUAGAGAAGAAAGAUUAGGCAUUGCACCUUUCUCCACUCUCCAGCUACGUAAACUGAACAAGUCAGAAAUUCUGAGAUGUCGAAGUUGAGGAAAGCCCCAUUCAUGACAGAUAAAAUGUUUUCCUCUGCAAGACUCAAUAUCAAAUGCGAGAUAUUGUAAUUGAGGAAGUUUUUCUAGUGAUUCCAUUGGAUCUUCAUCAAUUCGAGUAUACUCUAAUGCCGACUUGACCAAGCCUGGGUGGAGCUGCUAUUCAUAUCGGGGAAACUUGCUUAAAUGAUGUAGGUUUUCGAAUGCCAACAGACUUCUCAGGAGGAUAGACCCCUGUUCUGACUCAAUGGAUAAAACGCCACUCAGGGUAAGUGAUAUCUCCGGCAAAUUUUUCCCACUUAUGUUCAUGUAGUUCAUGAUAGCGCAAAGGCCCUCAUUAUUAGUAACAGCCACAUCAAGUACUCGAAGAUUCGGUAGUUCAUAAAGAUCAGCAAUUUCAUCUCUAUCACUUAGGAAUCCUUCAAGUCUCUCCAACUCACUCAAGCCAUAUAGUCGAACUUUUUCUUUUACUUCAAUGCCUGCACUUGUAGGAAGAUAUAAAUGCCUCAAACUUUUCAUCUUUCCAAGAACAUUUGGCAUUUCUAUCACGUUAAAUGCAUACAGAAAGACAUUUGGCAUCUUCGACAAGUAGCUUACCCGUAGAUCAAGAGUUUGGAGGAAUGGUAAUUCGGUUAUUGAUGAUGGAAGACCACUUAAGUCGAAAUUGCAGCCUCUAAAACACAAAAGCCUUAAAUGGAUGAGUUUCUCUAGACCUGUGGCUAAAUCUUGCCCUUCAAAAUCAUACUUAUCAAACUUCAGCACUCUAAGCGAUUUGAAGGUCUUGUAAUUAACAUUUAACCCUUCAGCCCAGAUGAUUUUCUUUCUCGAACACCAAGCACCAUCACUAUUGCGAAAAAGAAGACAACAAAGUUGUUUAAAAUCCUCCACAAUAGCGUUAGCAUUAACGGGGGUUUCAACAUUAGUAUUUAUGUGGACGACUAAUCUGUAGACAUCAUUAUUGGUGUGAGAAACGGAAUCCAGCAAGGGCUUCUCGACACCCCGAAGAUCUAUGACCUCAGAAAAUUCUUCUUCUCUUCCUUUCUUUAAACAAAAAUCUCGCAUCACAUCAUGAAGAUGAAGGCGACACGAGGUUGAAAAUCCAUUGACUUGCAUUUGAACCAUAGAUCUUUGCCCUAAUUCAACCAAAUACCUCUCUGCAACAUUGAGUAAUGUUUCCCCAUUUCUUCGGUGUUCCGACAAGACCAUGCCUUCUGCAAUCCAUAGUAGGUGUAGUUCUUUGGCAUCUAAGUACUCAUCCUCCAGAAAGGUGCCCAAAUAGAGGAAGCAUGGUUUCAAAUAGCUCAUAUUUUUUUUUCAACCUAAAUAACAAAAUAAUCAUCAUUGAGAACUAUUUCACUAUCCAGUUAUUCAUCAAUCAAUCAGCCUAUCAACUGCCAAAUUUCAUUUCAAAGAAAUGAUAAUCUUAUGCUCUUAAAAAAAAAACAAACAAACAACGCAAGAAUAAAAGUAACAAAUAAGGAUACUAUUUAAGUUAAUUUUGAUGAUCAAUUAAUACUUAAAAAAAGUCAAGAAAUCGAGAAUAAGCCCAUAAGAGAGGUGACUAUAUGAAUGAUACGCAAAGAAAAAGGCGCGAGGGGAAUUUGGGAUGAUGAUUAAAAUUUUACGUUUUAACAAAACAAGUUUCUCUACCUUAUUUGAACGGUUACUAUUGUACGCCAUCUGUGUACAUUCUCAUUUAAAGAGUACAAAUAUUCAAGCAAACUAUCAAACUACUACUUGUGUUGAAGUGGUCCACUUUUAUUUCUUACUAGGAGGGGAUCACCGCGCGAUGCGCGGUGGUGGUUUAAUGUUGCCCAGAAAAUGCCCAGACUUUCAAGUAGAAAUAUCAUAAAGCGUAUGAAUUGUAUUUGAGUAACUUAGCUAUAAAAUGAUUAAGUUUUUAAAUAAGUAAUGGGAUAAGAAAACGUGAGUACAUGAAAGUUUGCAUCAAACAUGGUGUUGAAAAAAAAGGUUAUAGAGGAAAAAUCGAGGGGAGUAAAAUUGGAAUUAAUUGGCAUGGCUUUGUUUGGUGUAUAGAUGACGAAGUGUUGGCGGAAGUAAAUAGAGAGAUAUUUUCAUUGCAAUAUUGAUCCCAACCUUCUUCGAAUGAACGAUCACCGACUGCAACAGGCCAUUUAUAAAUUCCAUGUUUGAUAAUGAUUGUAUUGCGCUGGUGCUGAUUAAGUAAUAGCUUCAAUUGAGCAGGCAGAAUCUGUUUUUUAGAAGAUUAGAAAAGGAAAUGUUAAACGAAGAUAUAUAAUUGUACUAAUCAUUGGUAGCAUGUAUUUUAUAUUGAGCGAAAGGGAAAAAAUAGACCUCUCCUUUGUGAAUGCAUUUUAGCAGAAAACAACAGGCCAUUGAGCCGCUGAUUGUUAAUCCAUAGGUAGAUGAUGCUUCUGCCAUUGAUCUGAUCAGCGAAGGUGAUAAAUAUAAAGCGUCAAAGAUGCAAUGAUAUGCAGGCAAAGUAAUGCGGUAAACGUUAGGAAUAACUGAGUGAAAGUAGGAAACUUAGCCUGGUGCAGCACUUUGCCUGGGAUGCAUGCUGUGUUCAGGUAGCACCUAUAUAUAAAGAAUGGAUGGUUGAUAGUUCUGUGGGUAAGAUUUUUUGUAUAUUCAGGCCGGCUCUCAUUUUUCACAGCUAAGCGGCUUAAUGAUUUGGGAUAUCUGUCCUCUAUAAAUUUAUUGAACCUGAACAAAGGGAAAAGUUGGCUUGCUUAAAUUUAUUGAAGGUCAAACAGCUAUACAUGUUAAGGACAAUAGGUCUUCGAACCUGAGCUGGUCAGUAGAGUAAGUGCAGGUCAUAACGGUAGGUCGAUAUUUAAUAAGAUGGUUAUGUGUAGGGGAAGACUUGAACAAGUCAUGAGAAACGUAUCAUGAAAAAGCUGAUGUCUAACAAUUAUUACAUCCACCAAGAGGUCAAUUAAUAAACUUAAUAGAGUAGAUGUCGAAUUGAAAGGAUACUGUAACAAGUACAUAGCAGUUGGAAGGCAUCAAUUUAGAUACAUAGUGUCGCUGAUUGCAGCUUAUCAGCAAAGGUAAAAGGUCCCAGACCAAAAGGGGUUUAAAGGGUAUCUCAUGGACAAAAAACACAUCUUCCAUUAAUACAUUAAUGAGCCUUCUAAGAAUGCACAAGGAACGUUGCAAAAAUAUACGAUAGCAUGUUAGGCAAUAUCUAAGAGUCAGGUGGAUGCAAAACUGAACCGCAACAAGCUAGAUUAGUUUUUGCUUCUUGCUAGAGCUGCACUCUGCAUUUUCAUCCACAUCUAGUUCAACGUUCUGGGGUUCAUCAAAUCUGUCAGAAAGCCGAACACAAAUCUUUGACCGAUCACUGUCUCCUCCUGCGAUAAUAAAUUUUUUACAUGGUUUGCUGUUCAUUUGCCGUAAAAGAUAAGUAUAGGACAGAAAUUAGGUACUUGGUAUUUACCUGGAGUCCCCAACCGUACAUUGUCAACUUCUUUGCCAAGGAAAGAAGAGUCAUCUUCUGUUUGACUUGUUAACUGGAUAGAAGCAGUUGGAUCAUCAAUUUCAGAGUAGUAUAUAAUUGUGUAACGCUGCCUCGCAUCUGCCAGCUGUGUUUGCACAGGUUUGAUAUGGAGCAGAAACAUUUUUGAUUUAAGCUCGUUAUGGACAAACUCGAGUGGAAGUUCAACAUUCUGUUAAGAAAACAGAAAAACAAGAGUAAAAAUAUAUAACGUCUUCAGUAUUAGGAUUCAGCACGUAGGAACCUGAUCAAAAUGCUGCAUUGCUUCUAGUCCAUUAAAUGUCAAUAGCUUCUCUGCCAAUUCGCCAAAUACUGAGGCUGGGAUCACUCCAGUGCUAUCGGUCAAAUCGACAUCAAAGCGACAUCUGAAAAUGGGUACACAAUAUGCAGGAAGAUAUCUAGUGACAACGACAGCAUUAGAUAACAACAAACAAAAAUCAACAUAGGAAAGGUAUAUUAUUUAGCACCUAGGUAUUGCAGGAUGUUUCUCUUUGCAUGAGUUACAGGUAAACACCACUUCAUAGUCUGCUGCUGUAGCUCGACAACAGUUUUUGCAACUCAUGUACCAAUAUUUCUGGAAGAUGUGGUCAAAAGAGAUCUGUGCCUUGACCCACACAGUCUAAAAGUGGAGCAAGCAUGAGUAUAAAAAAAUGAUCAUAAAUGAGAAAAAGUAUGAAAGGAGGCCAACACUAUCCAUUUACAAACCUUUUGUGUUGAGGUUAUGUUACAAAUCCAAGUUGUUUUUUGGUCUGGCUUCAAUGACAGCUGUGGAUUAUAUUUAAUAUAGUCCAUUUUUUCGACAAGCUCUUUAAUCAGAUUAGUGUUUCUCAACGCCCUGGGUGAAAGGAUGCAUACAAAAUAUUAGAACUGGUAGGCAGGACAGUAUUUAGAUCGAAACUGUGUAUAGAAUGAUGAUUGGAAAUACACCGUACCAAUUCUUGAGCUCUCUUGCUUCUUGUAUAGGAGGAUCAACCAGAAUCGCUGAAUCAAACCAAGUACCAAGUGCGACCCCUAUACGACGAAAAGAAAUGGAGAAAGAUUUACAGGUGUUGCAGACGAGCAUAAAAGGCUAAGUGCUAAAAAUGUAAAGAUUAAAAUGGGGAACAAACCAUUAUAGUUAUUCACUUUGACCCUCCGAGCAAUGAUCACAGGAUAGCUGUGAAGUUUAGAUAGCAUUUCUGCUCCCCUCGUUAGUUAGAAAGUUAUCCCACAGAGAUAAGAGGACUGUCUGUGACCUGCAUUUGUGGUAAGAGGUAACAGUCACAGACCGCAAAAAUUUACUGCAGAGGAAAAGGAGAUGCAGUGCGAAAUUAUGUCUAAAUCAAAGAUUAAAGUCGUUACUCUUCAUUAAGCAGGGACAAAUUUCUGAACAUCUGAUUGCCUUGAGUUUUUGGUAAUUGUUUUCCUCUCGAGCGCACUAAUCACGACUCCCAGCACGUCUAUGAAUAACACAGGGAAGGGGAUUAUAAAAACCUGGUUCAGAAUGUAACAUACUAAGAGUAAAGCGUUGAAAGACUCACCGACUGAUUUAGUUUUGUCAUCCAUGUACUGAACUAAAUCAGUAAACUUUGAAUAGCAGAAUUUCACAGCCAUGACUGCAUCAUCAUCAGGAAUUUCAUCAAUGACAGUCCUGCUACUGAUCACCCACUGAAUGGUAAGGUCAGAUGUCUGGAACUUUUGUGGUAUAGGCCUGACCUCAGCAUUGGAGAUUUUAUACUUUUUAUAAACCUGCAAGAUCUGGCUCAUUCUAGGAAUGUCAUCAUUGAAGAUGAUUCCUUCAACCCUCGAUCCCUAUUUAAAGAGGCAAAAUUAACGCAGGAUUAAGAAAGCAAAAGAGUAGUGUAUUUUAAUGAUCACAUCUAAAACAGAGCAGAAGGUUUGACUAACUUCUGAAUCAUAGAAAACAAACUUCUGCUUUCUUGUAGGGGUUCCCAAUGAGUUUGUGACCUGUUGCUUUUCUUGAACAGUGAUAAUGCAGCUCCAAUUUUUCAUGUGAGGCAUAACAUCUCGUAUUGGCAGCAAGUUAGCCAUCCUAUAAACACAUAAGUUGUUGAAUAAAUGAACAGCAACUUAAAGAUCCAGGAACAUAGUAAUCCAAGAAUAAAGAAUCUGCAUGACACCUUCAGUUAGUAUAAUUCAACAGAGAAUGGUCUACUGGUUUGUUAAUCUAAAAUCUCAGCAAAGACGACAUUUCGAGUUUUGCAAUCUACUUUUGUGCCAUCAAAUGUCCCAGGAACAAGUAGAAUUUUAACUUUAGCCGCAGUCCUAGCUCUAGACAGAGCGACAUACAACUGUCCAUGAGAAAAAACUGGUUCUCGUAGAUAGAUGCCGACGUAGUCAAGAGUUUGACCCUGUGAUUUGUUGAUGGUCAGAGCGAAGCAAAGUCGGACAGGAAAUUGUGUUCGGAUGAAUGGAAUCCCAUUUUUGUCAUUGUCGGGUGACUGAAGAGGUAUCCUUGGAAUAAAAAACUCUUUUUCCUCGGUGAUGACCAAAAAACAAUCUCAGCAGAAAUCGUGUGUUGCCCAAGAUCUCUACAUAUUAACCGUGUUCCAUUACAUAGACCCUCAGCUGGGUUUAAAUUCCUUAGAAGCAUCAGCGGGCAGUUUUCCUUCAAUAGUAACUUAUGAGGAGGGAGACCUUUAGGAUUUUGAGAAUUGAGGAAGUCCUCAUAAUCACUUUGAUGCAGCUGAUCAACAGUCUUGUCCGAGCUAAUAUAAGUUUGAAGGCUCCCAGGAAACCUCCUAAUCAUUAUUUCAUUGAGCUCGUCAACCGAGCUAUUUUUAGGAGCAAGGAUGCACCUAUUUAUCAGGUUAUAAGGAUCACGUGCAUAGAGGUUCAAAUCUGGAAACACGCUCUCUAUUAACCUGUGUAUAAGAAGAUUUGUUUAUAAUGGAAGUAGAAGGAAUGAUUAUAAAAAUGACCAGAAUUUGAUUGCAUGUAACCAGCUAACCUGUUGAGAGAUUCCUCUUUAUCUAGAUAUGGAAUAACUAUAUCUGGUGGCAAAGUUAUUUCGCCCUGAUCAUCGACAGGUUCCCUCCCCUCUCCUACACUUAAAAGAAAAUGUGAAAAUCCCGGAUCAAACAUAGCCCGCAUGUUUUCUGUGAGCCUGAGCUUGUGUAGUUUAGGCCACAGGGGAGAAAUGGGGAAGGUUGAUUCUAUGAGUUGUUCUUUAGUUGCUUGUUCAAUGACAGGUAGAGUUUGCCGAAAAUCGCCACCAAAAACGACAACUUUUCCUCCAAAAGGCAAAUCUGAAUCCAUUAAAUCUUUUAGCAGCUCGUCAAAUGCUUCAAUUGUUUCCCGCUUAGCCAUUGAAGCUUCAUCCCACAAAAUAAGCGUAGAUUCAAAAAGGAGUUUUGCAGCAGAGCUCUGUUUACUAAGCUGACAACUCUUAGUUUUUGAGAAAUCAAGUGGUAUCUUGAAUCUCGAGUGAGCUGUCCGCCCACCAGGAAGGAUUGAUGCUGCAAUUCCAGAUGUUGCCACUGCAAGGGCAACAUGGUUCUGUGAGCGUAAGGUGGCGAGAAGUGCCCGGUACAGGAAGGUUUUACCGGUGCCACCGGGCCAUCGACGAAAAAAGCUUGUUCUUCGAAGGAAAAACAUGCUUUUAGGAUCACAUCGUAGGCAUGUUUUUGCUCAAAAUUUAACUUCUGAGGCAAUAACAAAUCCUCGGGCGCUACCGCUAAGCUUCUUUCAUUCUCAAUCUCCUUUGUUAACCUUUCAGCGUAACCGCAUGUGAAGUCACCGGAGACAAAGUGAAAAUCAGCAAUGUUUUUGCCCAUUUGUUCAAGUGAGUUGUUUAUAUCCUGCAGGACCUUUCUUCUAAUUUCAGGAGAAGAAAGGCCAUGGGAUGGUUGAUGAUGGUGAUAGUCGGCAGAAAGUUCUGGUUCAAAUGUUUCCCAAAGUGACCUAGGAUCUGCCGGGGAACAAUACACAAGAAGAGUGGCAAAUAAUAAUCUCAACGAGGAAGGCAUCUGAAACGCUACCGCUUCCUGAAGUGUGUCCUCGAUGUAUGCAUCAGACUGUAGAAGGCCGAGAGCUAGAGCAGCCUCUCUGAAUGAGGCAAAUCUCUGUUCACUAACAGUCAAAAGGUCUUCAAAAGAAGUCGGUCCAGCAAUAUGAGUUAGAAGUAACCUCAAAUAAUACCUUUCUCCUUCUUUUGGACUAACAGUCACCAUCCUACCGAUCACUUUUCGACGUUUUCGUUCAGUCCACUCUUUAUAUUUAGCAGACCAAACAAAAUGUUCAGGGAAAUCUCUAUAGAAGCACUUCAGAUUUUGUGCUUUUAUAUUUGUUUUGUUCAUGCAGAAAAACUGAGUUAACAUUGUUUUAGAAAAAUCAACUUUGCUCAGCAGUUGGAACAAGUCAGAAUUUUUGACAAAGGAAACAAAUUGCUGGUCUGGAAGGUGAACUUGAAGGGUGUAAACUGCUGGAGUCAUCUCAUUGAGUUUAAAUUCAUAAAUGCGCCAAAAAGCCUCCGGAGGCGAAACCCAUCUACCUUUCUGGAAGUCUUUUAUUUCAUCAGUAUCAUUGGGUGAUUCACAGGAAAUAAUCUUAAAGCUCACCAGGUCAUGCCCUUUGAAAACAUACUUAUAUAAGUAUUUCACGAGUUUCAAAGUUGAACAAAUUUCCAUGUUGAUGUGGCAAUCAAAUAAGGCAAGUAGGUAUGGGUUGUAAGGCACAACCCAUCUAUUAUCAAGAGUAAAUCUGCGGACCUUGACUCUCUUGCCAUCAUCUCUCCGUCUAUAAUAUGGAUAAGUAUCCUCACCAUGAGUCGUUUGAGCACAAAAGUUCUUUGGAUAGCGAUUUUUGCAGAUUCCAUCUCUCAUGCAAGGACAAGAUUUAUCCAUGGCUCCGCAAGGACCAUGGAUCAUAUGUUUGACAACAAGGGAAUAUAAGUGAGGAUAUCGAUCUUUGUCGGGCAACUCAGCACAAACUACUUUGUCGUAUGACUCCGGAUUAAGCAGCUUGUGACCAGGUUUUAAGAUCAAUAAUAGAUGGGCAUGAGGAAAGCCUCGCUUUUGAAACUCGAUCACAUAAACGCAUGCUGCAACGUCACCAAAGAUUUGUUUAUUCAGAAGUUCUGCUUUAAGAAGUUCAAACUUGGCUCUAAAAACUCUAGCUAGAAGGUCUGGCCGAUUUUGAGGUUUUUCAUGGUAUUUCAAGUUUUCUUGAAUCUCCUUCCAUGCUGGAUUACAUGUCAUAGUUAGGAAGAUAUCUGGUUUCCCGAACUUUUGGACCAGAGCCAUUGCAUCAAGGUAGCGACGGCGCAUGUCCCUCGGCCACCUAUAAAGGAAGCUGGCAAGAAGACCUUACGACCAACCUUAGAAGCAGCAGUUUCACCAAUAGAAACACUGUCAAGAACUCCUUGCAGAGCUUCAGAGCGUAUUUUGUUUUGGCGAUGUCUAUGGAAGUCAAGUCUAGAUGUUUCUAUCUUGACAUAACCGUCAACCGAAAACUGCUGUAGCAAUCUAAGAGCGUGCAACAACAUUGAUUCAUCAUUGUCCCGUAUCUGAAAUCUAUAACAGUAGUACUCCCUAACUGAAACAGUAUUGCCUUCUGAUUUGCCUUGGUCAGCAGCUAUAAAGAAGGAAAAUGUUCUGGGCAUUAUCAGAUGAUAUAAGGCAAGGGAUAGGCCUAGUUGCUUAUAACAAGGGAGGGAUGUACUUGCCUCUCUGUUCCAAAUCAAUUAACUCCGACGAGGUGUUAACUGAAGUUGGAUCGAUGUUAAGAUCAGCCUCACAGGCGUCCUCUCCUCUUUUCCUUUUGCGAAGUCGCUUAAUUCCAUGGUGCCAGCCACACUCACCACGAGGGAAAAGGAGAGGGUAUUGUAAAGGGUCAUAACAGCCAUAGUAAUGCUGAAGACGAUGGCUACCAGCUGAGCGAGAAUAAACCUGAAUGUGAGCGCGCCUAUCGGAUGUCUGAUCUUCACUCUCAGUCCAUAUAGCUGCAACUUGCGAGGCAGUGGGAAGAUUAUAGAUUCGCUGGUCUAGCGAAGGAUAACAGUUAAGGACAAUGUUCAGGCUGUCAAUAUUUGGAACAUCCCUAAGGCUCCUAAAGAACCGGGCAUAAGGAUUAUCAGAAAGAACUCGCAUAAGCAAUUUCAAAGUGUUUUCUCGCAGCUUAUCAGAGUUACCAAGCCUCUUUGCUAAUUCCUCAUCAGUGUCAAAGAAGUAUAACUGGAUGCCAGAAGGUUUCUCGCCCAAGUGAAUAAGACCAUCAGAAAGUGGUAGACUUGGCCUUGGACCCGGAAGGUAUAAACACCUUUCGUGUUCUUUGUUAAAUCAGUGUCGUACUUGGCAGCAAAUGAUGUAAAGCCAAGGUUGUUGUUAUAAGUACGAACAUUGUUUCUGAAGUGGGCACUUUCUUCAUCGUUGCCAAUGAACAAGCGUUUCAAAUCAUAAGGCAUCGGAGGAGCGACGAUAGAGAUUUCUCCCCCGAGCAGCAAAAGGUAGGAGGUUCCAAAUGGAACCUUUUCGCUCCACAAUGCUCACAAUCAGGAGCAUCAGGCAGAACCAGAGAUGCAUUAGAAAUAUUGGCAAGCCGAGAUAGGCUUGAACCCGAAGUCGUUCGCUCCAUCGCUGUAGUUUUAUAUUUUGGAUACGAGUAAAUCAAUUAGUUCUGGUCGGGUUUGUAGAUAAAGCAGAAUCUAGGUUAAUGAAUGGCCAAGCCGAAUCAGAAACUAAUGCCAACCUGAUGCCUGGUUGGUAACAGUUUCAGGAGCGUUGCGUUUUUUGUUAGAGGACUGACUAAAAGAUGGAGUAGCAGAAGGACUAACGUUCCUGCUCCUCAUACCCAAACAACCAGAUGUUGGUUUGAACCUGGCCGCAUCCUUUUUAUGAACAGGAAACACGCCUGCAUAUUGCAGAAGUGAUUAAGGCGGAUUGCAGAUCCGAACAAGCUAUCUAAAAUUGUCCAAAGUCCCUUAGGGGGAAAGGCGAAGUAAAGGCAAAGGUUCCGAGAAACCAGGCUAUAAAGAUGAUCAGUCAUUGUUUAUAGCCUGGUUGAAGCAGGUCAGGGAUUAUACAAAGAAAAUGAAUACGGCAAGGUAAGGCAGUACCUGUGCAAGGAGGUGGUAAAGUAGAAUCUGAAAUCCUAGCAGACAAAGAAUUACUUUCAUAAGCAAGUUCUCUUUGGGGUGAUGGUUCAGAGUUCAUAAGAGGCGAAUUUAAAGAAAAAGAGUCUAGUAUAACUUCAGGCUGUUCAUUGUCUUGGAAGCGUUCAUUUUCAGGUGAAAGGGACAGUGUGCACUUAUGUUUUUCUGUAGUUAAUUCAGUGCUGAGCUGGAAAUCAGUAGAAUGAAGGGGGAUUUGUUCCGGUUCUGCACCAGAAGACAACCCCUGAUAUUUUGCUGGGACAAGGCCAUUACGGGAUGGAAGCUCUGCAGUUACGAACAAAGGCAGAUGUAAUUUUCAGAGGCAAAAGAGGAAUAGUGUCAAGCAAAGGAGACGGAUAAGAGUAAGUGGCGCCAAACAGCAGGAGCUAAACGAGCGAAGGAAUUGGACGUCAAGCAACGCUGAUAUACCUUUAGGUGGAGGUGUAAUUUGCACAGGUAUUUCUCCGGCAAACGAGGAAGAAGAGCUACCAUUAAAGGAACCCGGUAGCUGUUCAGACAUGAAUUCUAAUCCUUCUACCAUUGUAAAUGCAUUUUCAGCACGGAACACAGCAUCUGUGUUUCCUAACGGCUGAGAAUGCACAGAAGCUUGAUCCUCAGAACGACAUGGCAUACGUUGGGUAUCUGGGAAAGAUACACCAGUUUCGACAUAGCCUAAUGGAACCUUGCGAACGCGGGGGGUAAAGCAUUCCCAGCUUUCUUUGCUGCUUUAGCUUCUCUUCGAGAGCGCAGAAGCGCCGCUUUCUUCAGAGGCGGCAUCUCCGCAUAUCUUUUGCGGCGCAUAGCAUUUCUAUCCAUCUAAUGACUACACACUUUAGCAGGGGAAAGAAAGACUAACGUACAUAUCUAAUGCACUACCAUAGAGCCGACGAAAUAAGGGCUAAGGAGGUAAAAGUUAAAGAAAAGCUUGCAGAGUAAAUAAACGCCAUAACAGAGGUAUGAGACAAAGGGCUCUUAUUAAAAAGGAACAAAACACAGGAAAGAAAAGCCAAAACACAGGUCUUAUAUAGAAGAAGAAAAAAUGAACAGAUAAGCAUAAAGCAGGCAAACAGGCGAGCAAACCAUCUAGCAUUUUAAAAAUGCAACAUUUUAAAGCCACUACAGGGCAGACAAAACCAGCAGGAUGGAGGGAAAUGCUCAAGCAAACCCUGUGACAUUCUAGAAUGGUGUAGCAUGGACCAAAGUGCUCAUUAGGAAGAAGCAAGGUGACAGGCAAAGUAAAAAGGCUAAGCAUAUGCAGAAGGGAGAACAAGCGAUGUCACCUUAACCUUAGAUACGCAGAACAAGCCUUUAUCAGCCAACAGAAGAGCAGCAGAAAAGAGGGCAGGACCGGCUACUGUGUCAAACAAAACAACGAGAGGGGAAAAAAUUAAGAGGAUACAAUGAUUAAAGAGGUAAUCAGCUAUAGCACGUAAUAGAGAAGGAAAGUGGAAAAGGUAUCAGGGGCAAAAAGCAUAAAACAGAAAGCGCGGAAAGCUAACCCGCACGAACUAAGAAGCGCAGAGUAGAAGCUAAAACAAAAAACAAAUAGGUUGCAAGAACCAUUGACAGGAGGGAAAUGGAACACAGAGGUAAAAAGAUGCGCACAGUAAUUCAAAGCUAAACAAAGCAACAGAAGGAGAAAAAUGGGGCGUAAAGCAAAGGAAAUAGCCAAGGCAACAGCAAGAGCUCAACAGGGCAUAAAAUUUAGGGGAAAAAUUCAAAUAAACAUGACAAUCCCAAGCAACAAACUAACCAGGAGCCAAAAUGUAACAGUAACAGGGGAAGUAAAUCCGAAACAAGAACGCAGCAAGACAAGCUCCGGCAGAGGGAACAAGGGAAACGAAAGAAACGAGCUAACAACACAGUAGGUAGAAGCAAACGUAUGGAAAGAAAGAAAAGACUAGCGGAAAAGGCACAGUUACCGUGGAGCAUGAUGGUGAUGGCUGGAGGAGGCGGCCGCAGGAACAUAGGAGCCUCUGCAUAGAUCGGAGAAACAAAGGUUUUUAGUCUUUUCAAUCAAAGGAAAGAGGAAAAAGUCGGUUCUUGGCAGAUCUCUAAACCAGAGGUGAAAUUUCUUCUCAAUAAAGGACACAGUCAAGCAAUAAGAUCAGCAACAAACAACGCUGCAUUUGUUUUCAAAUACAAGGGCAAAAUCGUGAAAUCAUGCAAACCCACAUUGAGGCCACCAGCCAACAGUUGUCAUCAAUCAACCCAGCAGCAACCGCCAUAAGCUUACUCAGCAGGUCAGGCGGUCUUCAUCUUGGUCUAUCGGACAAAAAACAGGAGCUGUACUUCUUCUUCCAGCGGAGAAAAGCAACAAUCCGAAGCCCCCUCCCAGUCAAUCAACCCAGCAGCAACCGCCAUAAGCUUACUCAGCAGGUCAGGUGGUCUUCAUCUUGGGCUAUCGGACAAAAAGCAGGAGCUGUACUUCUUCUUCCAGCGGAGAAAAGCAACAAUCCGAAGCCCCCUCCCAGUCAAUCAACCCAGCAGCAACCGCCAUAAGCUUACUCAGCAGGUCAGGUGGUCUUCAUCUUGGUCUAUCGGACAAAAAGCAGAAGCUGUACUUCUUCUUCCAGAGGAGAGGAGAAGAAAAGUAACAAUCUGAAGCCCCCUCCCAGUGGAAGCACGCGAGCACCACGUGAUGGACGAAGACGACCCCCCAGCGAAUGAAAUGCAGCCACAUCAGCACAACCACCGAACCCUUUCGCGCUUUUACUAUAUAGGUUGAUAAACACCCUGUACAAGUCAUUUAGAUGAAUAAUAGAUUGGGGUUAUUAUCACUUUACCCCCUUAACAUUCGGUGUCACUAUCAAUUUUCCCCUUAACGUUAUCUUUUAGUCACUUUAUCCUCAAGACUAAUGGUCAAACUUAACAGAGUUUGUUAAUUAAAGUAAAAAAACAAGUUUAGCCCUUAAAGCUAUUAUCAUUUUACCCUCAUAAACUAUAGUCUCAUUAUCAAUUUACCCCAUAGAGUUAUUUUUUAGGCAAUUUAUCGCAUCAUUAAACCAAUUUAACAAGUUAAAAAGUUCUUUAGAAGAAAGUACCCUCCUCUUUGUAUAAUAAAAAUAAUAAAAAAAUUUAAAGUGACUCUUCUCCUCUUUAGUAUCAAGAAAAAAAGUCAAAAUAUUAAUUUCUUUCUUCUUGACAAUCUUAUUAAUAUUAAAAAAAUAGAAAGAUCGGAAGGGGGAGGGAGAGGGGGAGAGAGAGAUAGAGAGAGAGAGCUCAAUUCUUUUUUAGAAAAUACAAAUAAGAAAGAAUUAAAUACUUCAUUAUUUUAAAAUUAUUUCACUUUACUGUUUACCACUAGAUUUCAAUCAUAAUCCCAACAAUCUUAAAUUAAUAUGAUAAUGUUAGAAUUUUUUUUUUCUUUGCAAAUCUAACUUUCUGUCUUCUUCUUUCCUAUUUCUUUUUCUUUUCAUAGUAUUAAUAAGUGUGGAAAAAGAAAUUUGAGAAAAUCCUUUUAUUUUUAUAUUUUUGGAUCUCUUAAAGAGAAAAAAAAGAAGAAUAAUCAUUCUAAAUCUUAUAUUUUUAAUUAUAUAUAUAAGGGUAAAUAUAUUUAAAAUUUUUUGACCAUAUUUGUUAGAUUAACGAUGAAGUAAAAUGUCAAGAAAAUAAUGUUAAUAAUUAAAUCGAUUAUAUCACUACAAUUUAAAGGAAUAAAGUAAUAAUAACAGUGUAGUAAUGCUAUAGAAUAAAAGGGUAUUUUUGUCCAAAAUUUCUUAACAUGUUGAGUUGAAUUACUUAUGGGGAUGAAAUGACUAAAAGAUAACGUUAGGGGUAAACUGAUAGUAAUGAUAUAAUUUAAGGGGAUAAAGUGAUAAUAACCCUAAUAGAUUACAACGAGCUAGUUUCCAAGGAAAUAGAUAACCAAUUAAGAGGCUUUUUGAUUAUUUAGUACUUCAACGUUAUCCAUAAACAAAAGUAGUUAUAUAUUCAUUUUACUUCUCAAAAAUUUAAUGGCGGCAUAACUUAAAUUACAUUAAAAAUAGGACUAAUAAGAGAAUUUGUAUAGGGGUAGUGGGCCCUCUUGACAAUUUGCAGCUCUUAAUUUACACUAAUCCUAAUUGUCUUCCUUUAUUAAUACCAAGACUUUCCUCAAUCUAAAUUCUCCUUUGUCCCUCUAAUUUUCCUCUUCUUGUAAACAGAACAUCUUCCUCCUUGUGAGGGAGACCAAUUGGUUUUCUUUCUUUCUUCUUUUGGGAUCUAAUAUAGUCUCCUAGGGUUUCUUAGAGACAGUUUAUUCUCUCCUUAGUUGAUUUAGUGAGAGUUUUUUCUAUCAUAGUUUACUAUGAGAAUUUUCUUCUUUAGGUUUUUCAUUUCCUUUGUCAUAUCUUAAUUUUUUAGAUUUAGUUGUCAAAUUUAGGAUUCUUUAGGUCCAUUUCAUCACAACUCACCAUAAUAUUGAGCUUAAAGAAGUAAAUUAAUAGAUUUGAUGGUUUGAAAUAUGCAUAGAUGUUCUUGGGACCGCAUGUGAACAUAUCUAACUUUUAAGUAUUUCUGGAGCUUCACAGCGUAAUUUCAUUAAUAUUUUAAUUUGUAGUGUCUAUUUUUCAAAUCUAUUGUAUCUUAGUGUGUCUAAAUAAUUUACGCCAUUAGAGCAUAUUUAAUGUAAUUCUGAUGUUUAUUUUAAAAAAAAAUACACUAUUUUUCACUACUUUAGCUGCACUAUGCAUAUGAUUUUCAAGUAUACAUCUUUGCACAUAUUAUUUAUCUAUUAUAUAAAGAUAAUUCAUGUACUCUAUAAAGACUAUAAAAGAGUGAUAUUUUCCAAUUGAAUGCUCUUUCUUUUUUAUGAUGUACAGAUUUGUAAAAGCAUCCUGCUUUGAUAGCUACAUGAACUCUUAAUAGUAGGCGAUGCUACUUUGGUCCAAUGCUCAUGGCUAACUAGGAGAAUCACAUUUGAGCAUAGUUAGUAAACUUAACUUAGCUCAGUAGUCAACCCAUCAUCUAGCCUAGUCUAGUUAGUAUAUGGUUGGACCGGAUAAGAAAGGAAUUCAUUACAACUCAGCUGACCCUUCACCUAGCCGAGUUGGAUUAGCAAUCGGAUAGGAUAACAAAGAAAGUCAUUGACUAGUCUACGAUCUUGUUGGUUCAACUAGUAAUAUCUCAAAAACCGUUCAACAACUAAUUAAAUAAUUAUAUUAAUUUUAUUGGGCAACUGGGAGAGGGUAAGAAAUAGGAAGGGGAAGGGCUGUAGGUGGUGGUGAAGGGGAGAGAUGGGAAGAGGGGACAGAGAGGGGGGGGUAAAUAAGAAGGCUUAGAGAUGAAAACAAAAUUUCAUAAAUUGCUGCUUUUUAAUCCCUGCUUAAUUUGUAUUUCACUUAGUUUAUAUAUAUUUUUUGUUUUGGAUUUAAAGAAGUUCUCAAUCAGUCCCUACCAUCUCACAAAUUGGUAUCUUUAAAGUUGAUCACAUGUGGUCAAUUGGCUGUGUCAGGCCAAAAGAUAAUUGGAAUUAGAAGUUUGGACCAAAUUAAACCAAUUUGCAGUUGUAAGAGUUGUGAAAUCAGCAUUUCAAAUGUCAGGAAAACAAAAAUUCUUUUGCCAAAAUGUGAGAAUGUUUUCUGCAUUUGUCCCUUUCUAUAUUGCUAAUUCACCUUUCAAACAAUAUAAAAGUCUUACCUUUGACAUAUUUUCUUGAGGAUAUUGUAGCUUUUAGCAGCUCCCAACUUUCCUCUUCAUUCAAGCACUUGAUCUCGUAGGGAUAUCCAAUUUCUGCAACUUCUUUUGUGCGAGUUGUGAGCAUCAUUUUGCUGCCCCCUUCAACAUCCGGAAAUGCAUGAACUAGAUUCUCCCAAUCAUGCAUAUACCAAAUGUCAUCAAGAGUAAUUAGGCACUUAUACUCCGUUUGCACUCGAUAAAGUUCUCGAACCAACUCCCUGUCUUCGAUAUUCUUGAUCUCCUCCUCCUUCUCAGGACAAAGUUGCAUCAAGAUAUCCUGCAUAAUACAUCUAAUUUGGGCCUGUUAAGUUAUACAAACCCAAGUAAAAUGUUUGAAAGCGGUGUUGAACAUCUCUAUGCCUGUAUAUUUUCUAGCAAUGGUCCUUUCCAAGACCUCCCAUGCCCCAUACGGAGAUUAUAGCAUGGUGCUUGCUGUCGUCAACCAUGAGUGACACCAAUUACCUGAUGUCUUCUUCUUUCCCAACAAAAUAUUCCUCAACCUCAUGGGCAUAAGUUUGUCUUGCCCACUUGAGAUUGUCAUUUGUAGUUGCACCUGAGCUUUCUGCUUCGCUCAUAGCUCUUACAUCAUAUCCGCGAAAACUUGUAAUGAGAUUAUUUAUGUCAGUUUUAAGUUUUCCAAUCUCCAACCCAAGAAAAUGGCGAGAUCUGCCCUCUGCAAAGAUAGAACCAAAUGUUGUCAAUAUCACUUUUCCCCGAUUACCUGCGACUUCAAUUGCAAACAUCUCAACAGUAUCUUCAAUUCUAUAAGCAAGGCUUCUGACCUCCCUCAACCAAUUGCGAACAACUUCAUCUUUAUAUUCUCUUGCAUCAGCAUCUCUUAGGAAGCAUUGCACAUGCUUUAGCUCUCUGCUUAUUUCUUUGACCUGAUCUGUGACUCCCGACAAGAAUUUGGCUUCUUCAAUCAAUAAACGACCAAGUAUUUGCAACACACUGCCAACAAUAGCUUCAACCAUUUUUUUUUUCUUUGUUUUUUAGGCUGACAGGAAUCGCCAAAAGCUUCAAAGGACUUGGAUGAUCCUUGAGCAACCCUACUGAGAAAAACAAUAUUAAUAGAUCAGACAGACAUGAAUUGUUGAUUUUUUAUCAUUGGAUUUGAGUAGUAAAGGAUCAAGUGGGGUGGUGGAACCUCUACUGCUCACUAACGGACAAGGAUUGGUUGAGUAGACAUUGCAUGGUACAGAAGAACUAGACUCCUCUUUUAUUUAAUCGGAGAUAACUUGCAUCAUAACACCUUGAUAAAUGAAAUUUUGAGAUCCUAUUUGAAAAUUAAAGCAGUUCAUAUGAUGCUUUCAUUAAGUUUAAGAGCGAAAUAAUUGGGACCAAGUGGACUAAGUUUUGCCGCCUAAUUACUCAUCAUUAAAUUUGUCAUGAUUCUAACCUAUUUUUCAUUGUCCAAUUUGUUUCGUGCAAAUUAUAUUAUCAGAUGAUUUAACUUUUUCAGUGAGUUGAACUACACAAACAAUACUAUAUCCAAAUGACUUAUAAAAACUUUGAUUUCUUACAAUAAGCAAAUGAGUACAUAGCUAGAGAGAAAAGUAACAUAAAUAAUUAAGCUCAGGUAUACGAGCAUAUGGGUUCCCCCAUUUUGGACCGUUACAUUAUCAAAUAAGAAGUGGGAUGUGGCCAUUUUGUACUUUUCAGGGUUCAUAGCAGAAUAAACAUAUACAUACACAUACACAUAAAUAUACGAGUAAAUCUUAUAUACACUAAUAAUAUAUAUACUAUCACUGUUAUAUCCAUGAUACAUGUAUAAAAAUUGAAUUUUAAAUUCAAAAUUUUUAACUUUUGCACGAUUGUCAUCCACCCAAACCUAAUAGCGUAUACAUUGUAAGUGUAAAAAAGAUUAAUUCUAAAUAUAUUUCUAUUUAUGUAAAUGUAUACAAGUAAUUGCAAGAAUUUGAGGCAAAAUCCCUCUCCACUAUUACCACGUUGUUCUACUCUAAUCUUACAAAUCAAAGGUCAACUGACUCAAUUAAUCCUUGACCAUAGUGAGACCUUUUUCGAUCUUAGGCGAACGAGGGUUGCCAGCUCUGCUGCCUCACAAGGCACUACUGUUGAGCUCUUUGUGUUUGCUGCUUUCUCAACUGAAAAUGGAAACUGUCAAGACUUGCAUGGUGAACAAUUCCAUCUAUCAUUCUUGUCAUUUCUCAAAUCAUAAAUCAUAUAUAAGUUUCUAAUUAUUGCAUUCAGUCAUUGUUCCAUGAUCCAACAUGCUUCUAAUUAAGUGAUUUCAAACCUUCGUACUUCCCUCUGUCAUCCUCACCCUUCUGACCAUAUAUAUAUAUAUAUAUAUAUAUAUAUAUAUAUAUAUAUAUAUAUAUAACCACUUGUGAAAUCAUUAAAAUGAGAAAAAAAAUUAUUGGAAUCAAUCUUGUAAGGUGUCACCUAUCUUACAAUGUAAAAUUUUCUAGGAAAAAGUCUAGUCUUCAAAUCCUUAACCAUUAUUAAGCUGUGGACGUUCCACCAACCAACUUGAAUUCUCCUUCACUAGUCAACCAGUGACGGAGCCAGGAUUUUUUUUUUUGGGGGGCCAAAAUUGAAAUUCCAUUCAAAGAUGACUAAUUCAUAUAUAUAUAUAUAUAUAUAUAUAUAUAUAUAUAUAUAUAUAUAUAUAUAUAUAUAUAUUAACUCUCAUAAUAUAAACUAAAAUUGAAAAAAUUUAGGGGGGGCCAAUUUUAUUUUACACACAUAUUUACAUAUUAUGAAUUAAAAUUCUCAAAACUUAGGGGGGGCCAUGGCCCCCCUCUGCCCCCCUUGGCUCCGUCAUUGUAGUCAACUCCAUUAAUAAAAACUAGUAAUUCAUGAUUGACAUCGAUGUGAAUUAUUAUCAUCCAAGUCCUUCGAGAAGUUUUUGGUGGCUCCUUAUAGCCAAAAGAGGCUGAAACUAUUGUCUCUACUAGUGUUGCAAAGGCUCCGCGGUUUGUUACGCUAUGCUAACUGAGAAUUAUGCAAUUUUUUUUUAAGUGUCAGUUUAUUGGAUCAAAAGGUCUCAUAGCCUUAUAAAACUAACCAUUUUUAUUAUAUAUUUCUGAUCCUCAUUAAUAUUCUACUUUUGAAAUUUAUCUCUUUCCCGUCACUUAAAUUUCACAUAUAUAUUCAUAGUUUUUGGCUUAAUCAUAUUUCCCGUUUGCAUUUAUUGGUAAUUGUCUCUUCACUUGAAACUAAAUCUUCGCCUGUUUUCUGCGGCUUAUAAUUCAACAUCUACAGUAAUUUAAUUAGAAGAUUCUGAACUGUACUUAUAGUAACACAAGGCAAACUGCUUGGACAACAUAGGAGACAAUAGCUCAGUCACCUUCAUUAGAGAUCGUGUAGCAUUGGACGGUUCGAGAUCGGUGGUCCACAGCUUAAUAAUGUCUAAGGAUAGGUUAACUAGACUUUGUGUGAGAGAUGAGGAAGGACUCAGAUUAGUUACAGUAGUUUUCAUACCCAACUUCAUCUGGUAUUGUAUUUGCUUUAGUAUGUGAUAUGCAAUCAUAACCAAGUUCGCCAAAUUGAUAAGAACGGAUCACUUUCUGGCAAAAGAUCGUGUAUUUCAAUCGGCUAUCGAUGUAAGGGUUGCGUUAGUGAGUGAUCUGUAAGAAUAUCUAUAAACGAUAUAUUAUCCUGAAGGCAUGCACUGACUCGUGAUAGCAACCGUGCCAAAUGCACCCAAACUUUUACUUAUAAAAAAAACCGUAGCAAUGAAAAGUCUAGCCAACCAAUCCACAUCUGUUAUCCGGAGCUCCCAUAACCCCACUUGAACCAUCAUUCAAUACUACAAUCCAAUGAUGCUAAUCAAUAGUUCAUGGGAAAAAAAAAAGAGAGAAAAAUCUCAACUGUUCAUAGUCAUUCAAUUUCGUGGAAGCUUUUUUACGUGGAAAAAAAAAAACGCAAAAAUGGCUAAAAUGACUGAAGCUAUUAUCUCUGAUGUUGUGUAAACACUUAGUUGAUUUUAUCACAUGCUAACUUAGGUUCAAUCCAAAUCAUUUUGUUUUUUAGCCAAUUCAAUUUAAAAUGAUUUAAUUGCAUUUAAGAAACUAAUCCUCUUUAUUUUAUAUCUCUCUAACACUUAUAAUAUGUCUGUUUUCGAACUUUCUCUUCUUUAUUAAGCAUUAUGCACGCUAUAAUCCAAGUGGACGGCUCAAUUAAUCAUAUUCUCUGUAUGCUUUGAUCACUGUUCAGGACUUCCUCACCAUAUCAUAUUGCUAGGAUUCCUUUAUCUACUUCUUGUGCUUCCAAAUAUACAUCUAGAUAGGUUUUAAUUUUUAACUAAGCUGAGUUUUCAACUCAAGACUGAAGCUUUACCAAUUGAUGAAUUAAAUUUUAGCAAAAUGCCCAAAAAAGGAAGGGGAUGCAUCUCCUGUUUGGUAAUGUUGCAGUAGAUAAAUAAAUUCAAUAUACUAAUUUUAUAGCGUAAUGGAACCAAUGUUGAAUAAGAGAUUUUUAAUAUUAAAAAAUAUACAAAACCGAAAGAUUUGAUAAAUGAAAGUGAAAAACUAGAUAUCUCAUCUUUGAUUUCCCUUUUAACAAGGAAACAUCAUGCUCGAUUUUAUCUAAUGUAUCCCAAAAAAAAAAAACAAAUUCACAUUUGAUUUUUUUAUAGAACAAAAUAAAUUUUUAGUAAUGAAACAACUUCACAUUUGAUAAAAGCUCUCAAAAAUCAAAAUCAUGCUACCAGUAACAGUUGCCAAGUUGGUAUCUAAGGUGGACAUCUAAAAAGGAGACCUUGGCAGAGGCUCUUUCCAAAAGGUCGAGCUAAUUCAAUAUACAAAUUGGGCCCGCAACCAACCUGUGGCAGCCCCUCGCCACUCAUCACAAGCGGCCAGUGGCUGUAAGAGAGGCUGCGACUAGGGAUGGCAAUGGAGCGGGGUUGGAGAGGAGAACAUCUCCCAUAAUCGCAGCCCAGUUGUAUUUUAAUUUCCCUGCCCCCGUCCUGUCCCCCACCCCCGGCUUCCCCUACCCCCCCCCCCGCUUCCCCGCGGGGCACCUUGGGGUUAAAAAAAUUGUAUUAUAUAAUUUCAUUAUAAUUAAAUUUGAGCAAAUAAUCAAGUACUAAAAUAUCAAUACAUUACCAAAUUAUUAUUCAUUGUAAUUUCACAAUUGAAACUCAUAAAAAUAGUUAAAAAAAAGUUUAUUUGAAUACAAUCUAAUAUGAUAAAACAAAUAUAACUAAAAUAAUCAAGCUUUCACUUUUGAUAUAAAUACAAUCACUAAAUUAUUAUUGUUUUUUUUCAGAAAAAAGUGCUAUUGUAUUAAGUGUAGUUAGAAAUUUAACAUAAAUAAUUAAUAAUUUUUAUUAAUAGACAUGUAUAAUUAGUAAUAUAAUUGAUAAUAUCAUUAUAUAUAUAUAUAAUUAUGUAUAUAUAUAUAUAUAUAUUUUUUUUUCAAAGGGGUGGCGGGGCGGGGGAGUAUACUCCCCCUCCCGCCCUGUUUCUAAACGGGGGGAAAAAAAUUUCCCCCCCCACCCCAGUGACCUCCCGUGGGGCGGGUGCCCGCCCCCGCUGCCAUUCCUGACUGCGACCCAAGAGUUGGUGCCGCAGCAACAGCAGCCACACUCAGCAUUUGAAUUUGUCUGGAUCUUGACGACUAAUUUCAAAUGGUCCAAAUCAGUCGAGCUAAAUUAGCCUGAUUUGAACCAUCAAAUGCACCCGACGGUGGCACUCAUAGUGCCAUAGUGGUUGGUUUAGUUGCACCUGCAACCGCAGAGAAUCUAGACUUAAAAAGUUGGCACUAAUGGUGCCAUAGCAGACCGUAGUUGGUUUAGUUGUAAUUUGGCUUUAAUCAAUAACCGAUAUGAAGCGAUAGUUAUGUUUGUAAACUCGGAGUGGGAAGUGACGACGAUAAACUUAGGAAUCAGGGUCAAUGGAUUCAAUCGGUUGAGUUGGGAUUCGACCGGAUGACAUCAUAAUGACGCUAUAAAUAUAUUUUAAUUAUAUAGAAAAAUAAAAUGGUACAAAAAUAUCUCUAAACAUGGUAUACUUGGUGAAUUUAUAAAUAAUAAAAAUAAUAGAACCAUACAAAUUAAAUCCCUACGACUUACUUGAAAACGGCCCUCGGGUUGGCUCGGCUAGUGCUGGGGUUAUUUAGUUAGGUUCUAGUACCGUGUGAUCAGAAUUCGAUGCCUGUUACUGCCUUGUGUAUCCUUGGAGGGCGGGAUGUACAAGCGCAGAGGAAUAGUGGGGCCAAAUGGCAACGAAUACCUUGUGUUGACCAAAAAAAAUAAAAAGACUUAACUCGAAAACAAAUACUCCCAAUUAAGGCUGCAAACAAAUAAUAGAGAAUGUUAUGGCAAGUAUGACUAUCCAACCAUUUGGAGGUAAAAGUGAAAUACCAUGAAACUCUGAGCAUUCAUCUAUAAUACCUUAAGUUGUGGACUACUUUUGCCUUUUAGCCAUCAUACUCUGCAUAACUAGUUGAGAAAGGACUUAACGCAACAUCAUCAACAACAUAAGUGUCAUUGCCUCAACCUACAGCCAUGGAGGCAAAAAAAAAAAAAAAAAAAAAAAUCUAGCUAACACAGUAUGAGAUAUGAGAGAUCAAAUACAAGUUUGCCAUGACCAUCUUUGCAGCUGUCUUCCAACUUUUCUUUUGUUCUCAAAACCCAGAUCUCCAUUUUUUCUCUUUCUUCUUUUAUUCUCAAUCUUUAGCUUCCUUUUCUUAUUUUAAUCAAACAUAAACACCAUUAUUUUGUCUUCAUUCUCUUCUAUUCCUUUGCUGUUGUUCUCUUCUUCUUCUUCUUUCUUCUUCUUGAUAAAACAUUAUUUUGAUAAAAAAAAAGAUCAAACUAAUGAUGCUAAAUACUUUUAACUCAAAAAUUAUUAAAAAAUUGUUGUUUUUCAAGAAAUUUGUAACAAUUGAUAGUGUAAGGAACUAAAGUGUUAUAAUUGUAAUAUACAAGGGCAAAUUAGAAAUUGCUGAUAAUUUAUUGGUGGAUAUUACAAUUUACCCACAAUUCUAUGUGUAAUGUGGCACACUGAUUUUAGACAUUAUUUAGGAGCUAUUUCGUCCAUAUUUCAAAAUGAGAAUGGGCACAGAAUCAUACAUUCCACUUUGCAUAUGGGUUUUAGUUAUUCUCAUUACGUGUUUGGUUGGAUACAUGGAUAAUUUCAUCCAAGCAAUAAGCUAAUCCUCUUGAAACUUGUAUCAAAAGUUGGGAAUGGUGUGAGGCAAACUCCCAUCGAAUGAUUCUUUUGCCAAAAAUUAGGUUUGACUAGCAUUAACUUUGAUUGCUUUCAUCACCAAUUAGGUUUGCCAAAAAUCAGGUUUUGCCAAAAAUUAGGUUCCGUCACCAAUUGGCUGAACAUGGUCUUUUUGGGUCCCUCUUAGAUUGCUUUCAUGGUCGAUUUUCCGAUAACUCCUGCGUUAGUUUAAUUAGUGGUGUGUGUGUUUCUUUAGUUCCGGAAAAAAAGACUAGCAUUAACUUUGAUAUGAGCCAUUCACCAAACACUCUCUGAAAAAAAUAGGGGCUAUGGAAGGAAAACUUCCCCAGAAAAUUAACCAGUCAAUUCCCAUACCACUUAUUAUUAUUAUUAUAUUUUAAUAAUAAACCACCGAUGAAACAAACCUUGAUUGCAUGAUCACAUUGAUUUAACAAUACAUUGGGCCUAUUUUUAACUGAUUCUAGAAACCUGAUUUUAUCUUUUAAUUUUUUAAAAUAUAUUUUGUUGUGUUCUCAAAGGAUUUUAGAUUUUUUUAAGCCCAAAAAAACUAAAAAUUAGAAGUAGGAUUUGAGGUGCUUUGGAUUUUGAUUCUGACCUAUUUUUCAUGUAGACAAAAUUACCUUCAAAUUUCAAUAUAAUUAUUAAAUUACCCAAAGAUUAGAUAACUUUUUAUGGCCUUUUUAUUUUCUUCCUUUUUCAUUUCACUCCCAGAUUCAUUUAAGUGUUCCCUGUUUUUCUCAUCUAUCAUUUAAUCUUCAUAUAAAAAGUAAUCAAUUAUAUCAAAAAUUAUUUAGUCAGUAAAAAAAUUCAUUUGUGCAGCAUAUAAGGGCAAUAUGGUUGUCUUUUUGUCAAAAUCAACUUUUUAACUUUUUUGAGAACAACUAUGCAUUUAUUAAAGUAGUUUUUUAAUAGUAAAUGAGAACAAACGAGUUAUUCUAAAAAAUUUGAUUUUUAAGAAUCAAUUUUAUAAAAUUAGCUUUUACAAAAUCAGAAUUGGUUGAGACUUGAGAACAGGCCUUUUGUACAAAUAGAGAGUUGAGAAGAAAUAUCAUCUAUUUUGUUCAUGGAGCUUAAAAAGUGGAUGAUUUGUUGUAACUGGGACUCUAUCUCCAAUAAUAUAAAAUGGAGUGUUAAUAUAACAUAAUAAAAGGAUUAGUUCUACUUUGCACCUUUUAACUAUACUUCAAUUCGUUCAGAGAUACUUUAGUCACUAAACUGUUAAAACUUCCCAUAUAAGUAGAAUCUUGAAUGGAAUCACCAAAAUUAACAAAAUAAUAGUAAUUUGAGCAGCAGGGUUACAUAUUGUAAGGGCAUAGAAGGAAAAUCAGAUUAAACAAUAACCAAAAAUAAAAGGGUUGAAAGGAUUUUGAGAGAUCCAAUGUGGGCAUGAGGCAUCUAUAUGUGUGUGUGUGUGUGUGUGUGUUGCAGGGAGGAUUGUUAGGAUGGUUAAAUCAAAAUGCUUCUAACUCCUCAUUUUUUUUUUAUAUAGAAUUUUGAAUUUUUUAAUUCUUAUAUAUCCUUUCAUGUCUUUCAAAUUUUAAAAGUAAGAUCUGGCUACACUUAUAUAGGAAUUUGAUUUGAAAUCUAUUAAUGUGAGGGUAAAUAAAGAGAAAAUUUCACCAAACCUACUAGAAGUUAAAAAAAAUAAAUAACAAUAAUUUGCCCUUCAACUUAGUAAUCCUAACUAACUGUAAUAUUAUUUUAUUAUGGUUGGCCGAUAGAAGAAAAAUGGAGGAAUAGGGGAAAGUUAAAUAGAGGAGGUUGGGGGGCUAUCCAAGGUUUUAGGAAAAUGGUGAGCCGAAAAGGAUAGAAAAUUGGGUGGCAAGGUUAGGAACUAGAAGCUAACUAUAGGCAAGGGAAAGGGAAGGAGUUAAAAAGUGGCUGGAAAAGUUGAAAAGGAAGAUGAACUAUGAUAAGGUUGAACGGAGAGAGGGGAAAAGAAACAAAGACAUUGUGGUGAUAUGACAGGAAAGAUGACACUGUGAUAAGAGGCCUCAAAGUCAUAAAAGACAGCAAAUAGCCAGUAAACAUGUAAGAGAGGAUGGAAAGGGUGAUAAUUUUUAAUAAUUUUGAAAACUUUUAAAACACGUAUAACAAAUAUUUUUAAAUCUAUUAAAGUUUAUGAAGAAAACUAUUCUAUGGGCAUUGAACAAUUUUAGAAUUACAAGAUAGAAAAAAAAUUUCAAAAUUGUGGAAAAUAAAUUAGUUAUAAUUUAUAUUUUUAAUAUUAAAAAUUUUCAUAUAUGGUUAUAGCAUGAAAUAUUAAUAAAUAGGUUUACAAUAGCUCUAACAUGUAAAUCAUUAUAAAUUAAAUGAUUUUAUUCAAAUUGUUAUCAUAUAUUGAUUGACAAUAGGUAAACAAAUUUUCAUUUCAACUUAUUUAAGAUAUUAAAAUUAAGAAAGUCCAUUUUGUAUUUACAAAUAAACUUCUUUUUAACAUGUUAAGCAUACACUUUCUUGAAUAUUUUUGCUUUUUUCAUGCACUUUAUUCUAUAAUAUAAUAUAUAAGUAUAUAUUAGAAUUAUUUUGAAUUGAAAUAUAAAUCUCUGCAUAGUAUGGAUCAGAAUAUCAGUGUCCAAAUUUAGAGUUUAGGGACUAAAACGUCUUAAUUUAGAUUGUAGGGACUAAAGAUGGAAUUGCGGUAUAAUUGAAGCCCCAUAACUAAAUUCUCACCGAUUGAAAAGGUAAAGCAAUAUUACACCAAGAUAGGGAUGGCAAUGGGGCGCGUGCCCGCGCACCAAGAUAGGCAAUGGGGGCGGCACCCGCCCGCGGGGGGCUCUCGGGCGGGGGUUAGGGCGGGGGCGGGGGAAUUUUUUUCCCCCCGCUUAGAAACGGGGCGGGGGCGGGGAAGUAUACCCCCGCCCCAUCCCCCGCCCCGCCACCCGCAAAACAAUAUAUAUAUAUAUAUAUAAUUAUAUAUAAUAUGUAAGUUAAUUGGUUAUAAACUUAUGAUAAUGAUAUUAUUAGUUAGAUGUAUUAUAUAAUGUAUAUUAGUUUAUGUAAUAUAAUUGAUAUUAUCAAUUAUAUGAAUAAUUAUACAUGUCUACUAAUAGAAUUUAUUAAUUAGUUAUACUAAAUUUACUAAUAUUUUUAUACUAAAUUUCUAAUUACACUUAAUAGAAUAAAACUUUUUUCUCAAAAAAAAACACAAACACAAUAAUGAAUUAGUGAUUGUAUUUGUACUAAAAGUGAAAACUUGACUAUUUUAUUUAUAUUUAUUUCAUCAUAUUAGAUUGUAUUCAAAUAACUUCUGUUUGAUUGUUUUUAUGAGUUUUAAUUGUAAAAUUACAAUGAAUAAUAAUUUGGUGAUGUGUUGAUAUUUGGUACUUGAUUAUUUAUUAAAAUUUAAUUAUAAUAAAAUUAUAUAAUAAAAUUUUAUUAACCCCGCGGGGGAAACGGGGCAAGGCGGGGCGGGGGCGGGGGAGCGGGAGGCGGGGACGGGGCGGGGACGGGGGAACUAAUAGGCAACGGGGCGGGGGGCGGGGAGGGGUCCCUCGCCCAACCCGCCCCGUUGCCAUCCCUACACCAAGAUGGCUACAUGAACAUCGUCUCUUUCUCUUGUGGGUCCUCCUUAAAUCGAUUACGUGGCCGAUUUUUCGAUUAACUCCGGUGUUAGUCUAAUUAGUGGUGUGUGUGUUAAUUUCGUUUACGGAAAACAGCUACAUGAAAACAUAAUAGAGUACUUUCUACUUUCUAGCUGGAUAAUUGCAGAAACCUCUCUUGAAGUUUCUGACAUUUGCAUUAACCUUUUCUGCGAUUUGAAAAAUUACACUGACCUCCCCGAGAUUAUUAAUCCUUUGCAAAUUCACUUCAAAUGAUUAAAAUAUUAUUUUAGGGAGUGAAAUUAAAAUUUUUUAUCAAAUUUGUCCUUUGUACUACAUGUCCAAUGAAUGACAAAAUACUACAAAUCAAUUAACAAUUAAUAAACUUUAAGGAGUAUAGUUUAUAGACAAAUAUACAUUACCUAUUUAAAGUACCGGCUCUUUAUGGGUAUUUUACUUUCAAACAUUUAAUUUAAUACAAAUAUUUACUCUCAAAUACAUAUUUGUAUUUACUUUCAAAUAUUUAAUUUUUGUUAAAUACAAAAACUACUACAAUCUCUCUUCCGUAAAAAUAUUAAUAUAACACUUUUUCAAUUUUAGUUACAAACAUUUAUGUAUUUAACAUAAAUUAAAUGAUUCAGAAUAAAAUACUCAUAAAGAGCCAAUACUUUACUCAUGUAAUGGAUAGAAGCCAUAAAGAAUUAAUACUUUAUGGGUCAUUUUUUAAAAAAAUAUUUAAUUUAUAUUAAAUAAAUAAUCUACCGAUUUCCUUUUGCAAGAAUAUUACUGUAACAUUUUUGAAUUUUACUAACAAAUAUUGAUAUAUUUAUCAUAAAUUAAAUGUUUGAAAGUAAAAUAUCCGUAAAAAACCAAUACUUUAAAUGAGUAAUGCGUGUUUGCCAAUAAAGAGCAGGUAACUAUUUAAAGUACCGGUUCUUUAAGGGUAUUUACUUUCAAACAUUUAAUUUAAUACAAAUAUUUACGCUCAAAUACAGAUUUGUAUUUACUUUCAAACAUUUAAUUUUUUUUAAAUACAAAACCACCAAUCUCUCUUCCGUAAAAAUAUUAAUAUAACAUUUUUUCAAUUUUAGUUACAAACAUUUAUGCAUUUAACAUAAAUUAAAUGAUUCAGAAUAAAAUGCACAUAAAGAGCGAAUACUUUACUCGUGUAAUGGAUGAAAGUCAUAAAAAAUUAAUACUUUAUAGGCCAUUUAUUUUUAAAAAAAUAUAUUUAAUUAUAUUAAAUAAAUAACCUAUCGAUUUUCUUUUUACAAGAAUAUUACUAUAACAAUUUUGAAUUUUACUUACAAAUAUUGAUAUAUUUAUCAUAAAUUAAAUAUUUGAAAGUAAAAUACUCCUAAAGAGCUGGUACUUUAAAUAAGUAAUGCCUGUUUGUCCAUAAAUUAUACUCCUUAAAAUUUAUUAAUUAUUAAUUGAUUUAUAGUACUUUGUCAUUCAUUGGAUAUGUAGCACAAAGGGCAAAUCUGGUACAAAAUUCUAAUUUCACUCCCUAAAAUAAUAUUUUCAUUUGGACUAAAUUUGCAAAGGAUUAGUAACCUCAGGAGGUCAGUGUAAUUUUUCAAACCACAGGGAGGUUAGUGUAAAUGUCAGAAACCUGAGGGGAGGUUUCUGCAAUUAUCCCUUCUAGUUUCUACAUCCUGAGGUUUCUUUGUGAUUUCUAAGUAACUUCCGAGAAUUCUCCUUGAAGGUUGCUUAAAAUAUCGCUUUUGGGUCCGCCUAGCUUUUUCUUAUGGUGUUUUAGGAGUUGAGUUGGGAUCGGGGUUAAAUGGGCUAUGUGCAUAAAAGAAAUAAAGAGAGUUAAACUCACCUAAGUGAUUAUGCUUUGGAUAAAAGUCAGAAGUUGGUGAUGGUGGAUUCUUGGAUUGGUGCCUCUGUAGUUGUUCUGAAAUCUGGCGUCUGAAUGUAACUUCAUCAGAUGCCUAAAUUGAGUUUGCACCAAGAGCUACGGAUGGGUUCCUAUUACUUUAGAGUUGUUGAAUCUUUUGCUUAAUUCAGUUGUUACUCAGUAAUCCAAUGGAUAUAGAGAAGGGAAACAGUGUAUCUUCUGCUGGCCAUGAGGUAGGGGAAAGUGGCAGAUUCUUCAGUUUUACUCAACUAAGUGGUAGUCUUCAAAAGCUUUUGCAUGAUGCUGAGUUUGACUACAGUGAUGCGGAGAUUGUUGUCGAAGGAACUUCUGUGGGUGUAAAUCGCUGUAUUUUGGCUUCACGAAGUCCAUUUUUCCAUGAAUUGUUUAAGAAGGGUAAUGAUACUGUCUCUGCAAAUGAAAGUAAACCAAAGCUAUGUCAUGGAAGAACUGGUGCCCCAUGGCAAGAUAGGAUAUGAAGCAUUUUUGGUUUUCUUGAAUUAUGUUUAUACUGGAAAGCUCAAGCCUUCUCCACUAGAGGUUUCAACAUGUGUUGAUGAGUCUUGUGCUCAUGAUGCGUGUGCCCUGCAAUUAACUAUGCAGUGGAGCUUAUGUAUGCUUCUGCUACAUUUCAAAUGGAAGAACUAGUUCUGGUUGUUCAGGUGAGCUUUAAUGGCCAAUCCGGUUAAUUUCCUUAUGCUUGUGCUCCUUUUCAUAUUUGGAAGACAUCUUACAAAAUUUUAUCCUAUACUCUGGUAAAUGAGAAAAGAUCAGUACUUCAUUGGUUUCACAAUAACUGCUAGCCAUUCUAAAAUCAAAAGAUUCUCUAAUCAUAAAUGAGCAGAUGAUACAUUAGGCCCACAUAGAUAAUGAUUUCUUGGAUUCAAUUUCUAGUUCACUCCUGGCAUCCAUCCAAUGCAAGAAUCAAAAAAAUGAUUUCUUGAAGGACAGGGAAAUACAAUUAGAAACUUGUGCAGUGCUGUUAAAAUCAGAUAUACUGUCAAAACAUGAGAUCAAUGAUAAAUAUUGUUUCCUAUACCAUGCUAAGUCUUUGAUUAUUAUAAAGAACACUUCUAGAACAUCUUUCCAUAUUAUGACUUGCCGUGAUUUCACACCUAUAUCUACAUAUCCACAAAUAUGGUGCUGAAUGCUAGGAAAUAUAGUACAACUUCUUAGACCUUUUUGUUGACAUAUUUUAAAGCAAGCAUAUUUAGAAUUUUAAUAGUUUUAGAAAUUGAUUUGUUAUUUGGUAACUAUAUUAGAUUUGGUAUUACAGUGAUUUAGGAAAUAGAGUUGAGUUAUGUUUUGGUUUUAUUAGAAUAGGAUUUGUGGUUAUGUUUUUCUAUUUAAGGACUGGGAGUUCUAAGUUUGUAGUUGAGGGAAAUUUGUGAAUGAAGAAGAAUAUUUUUUUUUUCCCGUGCCUUUCUUGUUGUUUAUUAUUUGUAAGAUUUUAAUGCUACUUCCGCUGCGUGAUUUUUUGUGCUAACACUUUUAACUCAUGAAAUCAUUUCCUAGCUUUUGGUUAGCUAAAAUUGUCUACAGAAUAUGCUGUAUAUAUAAAUAACAUAUAAAUAAACUUGGUUUGGGACGGAAUUCUGUUUCUGAUUCAUUAUAAAUAAACUUGGUUUGGGACAGAAUUCUAUCUCUGAUUCAUUUCUUAUUGACAGUCUUGGUAAGCAUAUUUGAGCAGGUUGCACCUGCAAUUCUGUUCAAGUUGAGUAUUAUCUAACCUGGACCCAACUAUACUUUGUCUUCCAUUUUGCUUUCUUUCUCACUGAAAUUAUGCAUUCUGUUACUAGAUUACAAGCCGUAAUGUAUGGCUAACUGUACUCAUAUAUUCAUAUCGUAGCAUAGCAUUAAGUUUUUUACUCUUGGUGUUUUACUAAGUUGCAUAGCAUUUCCAUUCAAGCUUGUUAUGUGCUUCACAUUAAGUACGUCUCUCUCUCUGCAUUAAUGUAUCAACUAGUUAAUUCUUGUUCAUUUAUCUUGUUCCCAGUUUGUAGGGAAGGUUACAGAUAUUUCUUUUUGCUAUUAUCACCUUACCAAUCUGGUUUACAUCAUUUUUUUUAAAAAAAUUGUUUCUGAUGCAUGUUUCUUUUGGAUGCAGCGUCGGCUUCUUAACUUUGUUGAUAAGGCUCUUGUAGAAGAUGUAAUUCCAAUAGUUGUAGUAGCCCUCCACCAGCAGUUGAAUGCGCUCCUUUCAUACUGUAUCCAGAGAAUAGCACAUUCAAAUGUUGAUAAUCUCACUCUUGAAAAACAGCUUCCACAUGAAGUUCUGACAGAUAUUAAAUGCUUCAGGAAACAACUAACCAAGACCUGGAGCAUGUCACGGUGAAGCAAAUUCAGUGUAUGACAAGAGAAUCAGAAGGAUACACAAAGCAUUAGACUCUGGUGACGUAGAAUUGUUGAAAUUAAUUCUGGAUGAAUAUACUAUUACCUUAGAUGAUGCUUUUGCUCUUCAUUAUGCUGCUGCGUAUUGCAACCCUAAGGUUGUCACUGAGGUGCUCAAUCUGGGCAAUGCUAAUCUCAUCUUAGAAAUACUCAAGGAUAUACCGUACUUCAUGUGGCAGCUAGGCGCAAGGAUCCAUUAGUGAUCAUCAGCCUUCUCAGCAAGGGAGCAUAUGUGUAGAUUCUACAAUUGAUGGACAAUCGUCAAUUACAAUUUGUCGGAGGUUGACUCGGCGUAAGGAUUAUAAUGAAUCAAUAAAGCCGGACAGGAAACUAAUAAAGACAGAUUAUGCAUUGAUGUGUUGGAAAAAGCAAUGCUUAGAAAUCCACUAGCUGGUACUCUGUGUAUGUCAUCAAUUGUGGUGGGAGAUGAUUUGAUUAUGAAGCUGCUGAUCCUUGAAAAUAGAGGUAAUAUUUCUAUCUGUAAAGUUCAAUACUGUAUCCAUGCCUUAUUGACCCCAGUGGGACACCAUCUUCUUAAAAUAGGCUCCUUGAAUAUAAUUUUUGCAUCCAUUUCUGGUGGCAUCAACUUUUGAAGGUUUACUUUUCAAUCUGAAUUUUUUGUACAUGUGUUUUUGAGCCUGCAUCAGUAACUAUGAGCGCCACAUGAUGUAUAAAUAAAUAAUACAGGCAUUGUGAUGGUUCUACUUUCUUGACUUGCCUAGAGGAUUGAAAAAAAUGAAAUGUAUGUAGUAUAAUCAGGAAAAGUAUUGAGCCUUGACUUAGUGAUCAAGCAAAAGUCCCAAGUUUCAUUAUUUAAUUGAAAAUCAGGUAGUCAAUGUAUGAUGAUCUAAUAGAAACUUUCAGCCAAACUGUUGCGUUAGAUGGCAACGAUUGGUAAAACCUUUGCUGUUCCCUGGACAUGUACCAAUUUUAUAAGCCUAAUGCCCUGAAAUUGAAUCAAGCUGGAAUAUUUGUGAUUAAAGUAGCAACCAAAUUUAUUCUGAGAUGAAACUUAAUUUCUUCUGGAAACAAGUGCUUCCUUUAUAAUCUUUAGAGAAAGGAAAAAGUUCCCAUUUUUUAGAGACAAAAGACAAUACAUGGUAUUGGUGUAGAACAUUACAAGAACCUGUGUAAUGAUUUACGUAUCCUCCGGAAAUACCAGUAAUACUUCUCUGUCCUUAAUAGAAGGCUGAAACAAUUUUAUUUGUGGUUAUCAGCCAGUGAAAAGGUCUGAUGAAUUUAGCUAUUAUACCAAUUGAAAGAAUUAAUCUUGACAAGCUCAGAAAGUUCACUUCUCAUUCAACUGAAGAAUCCUCUGGUAGUCCUUUAGUUGUGGUGGAGUGGUUUUUGAGUGACAAGCUCCCCUACUUGGCAUCUAGUUUGCUAUAUUUCUUCACAUGGUGAUGUGUCAUUAGCCUAAUGAUCAUCUGACAAGGGUUCCAGGUGUUGUAAAUUAGUCCCAUCUUCCCUACUGCAGUUGCCAAAGUUUCUUUUACUGUUUUAAUCAUCCUUUCCUGCAUCAUUGAAUGUAAUUCCUAGAACUUCAAUGUGUCCUAAAGUUUUUGGCUUCUGGCAGUGGCAUUGCACAAAUAUUAUUUCCCCAAGAAGCUAUGCUAGCAAUGGAAAUAGCCAAUGUGCAUUCAACCUCAGCACCUGAAUUCUCGCGUCCAAAUAUGAUUGAUUUGAAUGAGAUACCAUAUGAGCAAGUAAAACAACUUCAAUUGCGGCUACAAGCCCUGCAAAAAUCAGGUAUUUAAGACCUCGACCAUUCUUUGUAUCUUGGGAAAAUUAAGUGACUCUAAGUUUGAUGGAUUGCUAAAUAUCAUCAACAGAGGUGGCAUUGACUAGUUACAUAAUAAUAGAGUAAAUAAUAGAUGUCCAUGUCUGGUUUUCUAUCCUCUGCUAAUUAAUUCAAAAACAAAAAGUUAAAAACAAAACAGUUCCUUGUCUGGUGUUCUCUGAUUAUGCCAUUGACAGCUUAGAGUUAUUUUUGCAGAGAUAUAUCAGUAUUUGGCAUCAUUUAACUAUAUUUUAGGACCUUCAGAUGAUCAUGUAUAUGUCAUUCUUUUUCCCAUUUCUUGGAUAAUUUGGAGCAAGCUAGAAACAACAUUAGUGCUUAAUGAAUGCUACAUUACAAACGCUGGUCUUCAAUAUUUUUAAAUACUAAUGAUCGUCAUCUUUGUUCUUUGCCUGACUAGCAUUGCAAUUAUUGUUGCCAAGUGGAGGAGUUUUUGAUGCCAGUUAGCCCAAUUUGAGUCAAUUCCAGAUCAACAAUGAAAGAGGUGUCUGGAGAAAAUUCUAAAUUUGGUUUCAUAUAAACAAUUUGCCAAGAUAUUGGAGUGCUUUGUUUCUAGCCACAGGAUUAUGUUGGGUGUUUAGCUUUGUAGUCAUCCUAAGAUGUUACAACUCUAGUUAAAAUAUUAGUACACCUAUGAACUUGUGACUUGCAUCACUAUUUGUCCUGUUUAUGACUAAUAUGCCAGCCUUCAAAAGUACAGGAUGGUGAACCGAGAUUACUAAAAUUGCGUACCAAAAUCAUUAGAUUUUACAAUUAGAGGUUCUGAUUACACAUUAUCAUCUCUUUGGUUCAUGGAGCAUCAUCAUUGCAAUCUCAGGAUCUCCAUCUCUGAUUGCUAUGUUUCUGUCUUGGCAGUGGAGAUUGGUCGGCACUUUUUUCCCAAUUGUUCUUUAGUUCUGGAUAAAUUUUUGGAGGAUCACAUGCAAGAGAUUCUCAUGUUUAAUUCUCCAGAGAAGGAGCAGACUAAGAAGAAGAUGCCUUACUUAGAACUCAAGCUGGAGGUAAUGAAUGCAUCUGAUGAAGACAAAGGUGAAAGUAACUGGCUGAGCAUUUCAACUUCUAUCUCUUCUUGUUCAUCUUCUACCAAGGCUAGUGUUGACAUUAAUGUUAGGAAACGAAAAUCAACAAGUUCAAUUGAUGGACAAAUGUCCACGACAAUCUGCCAGAGGUUUACUCAACCAAUGGAUUUUAAGGAAACAACAAAUGCAAUGACUGGUGAUAUAUCUAUGUCAUCGAUGGUGCUGGCUGAUGAUGUGGUUAUGAGGCUGCUGCUACUUGAAAAUAGAGGUAAAAAUUCAUUAAGUGAAUCUGUUCAAUUUUCAGCUAUGGUACAUUGAUGGAGAAUGUUAUCAGACAAGUUUAAGGAGCUUUUUAAAAGACAAUCAUGAUCAAUUUGUGCUUUUAGGUUAUUUUUAGCUGAAAUAUUAUUUAGAAAGAUAGCUUUGGGUGGUUCUGGAAGUAGCAUUAGAAUAUUGGCAAAACUAUCAAAUAAGAUUUUGUUAAAUAUCUUUUUCUAGAAUGAUUUUGUUUACUUAGAUUUCAAAAACCAUCUGCUUGGUUGGAGCUGUUUUUUCAAGAACAUGUUUUAUGUAAUUCCAUUGCUCUCCAACCACACUUUUAUCUCACAUGCAUGCGUACCGAAAAGGUGCUACAGUUUUCUUCCAUGCGUUUACAAUGCGCUUGCAGGAGGAAGUUUAAAGACAAAGCACAAAGGCAAAAUUGAAAAUGAAAAGUACAGAUGAAACUUAUUUUGUCCAAAAGUAUUAGGUAAAAGGAUAAGUGACUGUUGAGAAUUUUGAGGGGUACAAGUGCAUUUGGAUGUAAAAUUGAACAGGCUGAGCAACUCCUUUGUUCAUUGGAAGAUCCUCUCUAUUAUGUUUCUGCUUCACAGAAUCCAACAUUUGGAAUGUCAGUGGAUAAUAAUGGCUCAUUCACUCACUAAAUUACUUAGUUGAAUAGCUGCAUAAAGAGUUCAAAUAUUUGCACUGUGCGCUUAGCUUCCCAAAUGAUGUGUUGGAUUCCCAUUUUGCGCUAAAUAGUUUCUUCUAAUUACUGUAAUUCAGAGAAGAGUUGUUCCCAGCUACGUUUACUUUGAGUUAAUUUGCAGCUUCCAUUAUACGAGCAUUACUUCCCUCUGAAGUCAAGCUGGCAAUGGAGAUAGCAGAUACAGAUUCAUCCUCAGAGUUUCACACCUUUGCAGCAUCCAGCACCUUGUGCGGAAACUUGAAAACGGUCGACUUGAACGAAAGUCCGUUGGAGCAAGAAAAACGACUUCAAGCUGGGUUACAGGCCUUGGGAAAAGCAGGUAGUGAAGCCCAUAAGUCCUCUUCAAAGCAUUGGAAAUAUAAGUUGUUGGUCUUUAUUUUUGUUAGGAAAUGGUCAUAGUUCCUAGAGACUACAAUUUAGAUGGAAGGUCUCCAUUGUUGUGGAAAUCAUUAUUCACCAAUCAUGGUUCAGAAAUCUACAGUUUUAUGGCAUUCUUGUAUUUCAUCUUGCAAUGUUGUAGACACGCUCUUUUUUCCUCUAAUUUUGGAAUAUAUGAAAAAUAUCCUGAUGAUUCACGGCAUACUUAAACAGUCCAUGUUCAUUAUCUAGAUGUCAAUCUCAGAGAAAAUAUGAAGCACGUUAAGAAAAGAUUUGGCUUGUAAAGCCAAACAUAUAGCAAAAACUUGUACUCGGUAAAGUGCAGUAGUCAUUUUACUCAAUAAAUUUUGAACUCACUAAAGUUCGUCGUCAUAAGUUCAAAAGUUGACAUUUUACUUCUGUGUUGCACAUUUGAUGGCAGUGGAGAAGGGUCGCCAAUUUUAUCCCAGUUGCUGUGAAGUUCUUGGCAAGUUUCUGGAAAAUGAUGCAGAGGAUGUAAGAAUCAAAGAAAUUAAGGAGGAGAUCACUAAGGCAUUUGAGACAGACAAAGCUAGAAUUCACUCAACACACUUUUCUGCACCUUCACCAAGUGAAACUGGUGAACCCUCUUUCUCUUCUAAAGUUAUAUGUUUGUGCUUUUCCUUUACAUUUAUCUAUGUAUUUUGUUUUGGGUUUUUUAAGCAUCUCUGUCUUCUGAAAUUUUGGCAACAAUUUGUUAGAUACUGACUUCUUGUUGGAGAAGUUCGGAAAGCUGCUGAAAGGAAUUAAUAUAACAAGUAAGAGACAAACCACGGGACUCGAUGAGGCAAUGAUGGUAUUCAAUAACAUAGAUAAAGAUAGGAAUUUCUCAUCAUCAUCAUCUUCUGGCUCAAUAUCUAGUGUGAAUCAAGGUGUUGGCCUCGGGAAAAGAUCAUUGUGCUAAAUUUGGUUCUUCAUGAGCAUGGGAACAUUCAUUGCCAUCUGUUUCAAGCUCAAAUACAGCCUAUGGCUUACUAAAAUCAAGUUUUUCUUCUUGUAAACGUAUGAUAAUAGAUCAUGAACUGCUGUAUUAAUCUAUAUUAAUCCCAGGUAUGCUAUCAAUGUCCCUUUUCUUCUAGGUGUUUUUAGCUUAUGGCUUACUAAAAUCAAGUUUUUCUUCUUGUAAACGUAUGAUAAUAGAUCAUGAACUAGCUGUAUUAAUCUAUAUUAAUCCCAGGUAUGCUAUCAAUGUCCCUUUUCUUCUAGAUGUUUUUAGCUUACAAGAGCACGAUAAUGAAAUUAUGAACUUGCUAUAAUCUGAUUCUUUUGCUAUUUGACUUGAAUCUCUUUGCGCAUCCAUAAAGCCAAUCUUUCUUUUGAUUAGGCAUUCCAUAGAACUCUAGAGUUCAAAAGUUAUGCAUGCAAACGACAUACAAGUGGAUCUAGGAAGAGUCAAGUUUAGUUGCCUUGCUGAUGCAAAUAAAGAGGUCCUAAUUGAAGUCAUCGCCACCAUGAGAGGAGGAGAAAUAUAGCAACUAGAGCUUUCAUUAAUUAUCAGUUCUAAAGGAAGUGAUAGUUGGGAUUUGCCCUAUGUUAUUUUACUUAGUUGAUGUAGGCGCCAUUAUUUGCAUGAAUCAUAGUCAAGAAUAAAGCUGAAUUCUUUGUUAGUGUUUUCCAUUGUUAUAGUGUUAAUUGAGAUCUUGAAUAUUUGGAGGGAGAUUCACUCUUCUUUAGUGAAAAUCUUUGUCAUCUUUCAUGAUAUUGACAGAUGCAAGGAGAGGAGAAAAUAGAGAGAAGACAAUUUUUUUGCAGUAUGUUGCUUGCCUAUUGGGCAGGUCAGCUUUUUAGGAGUGUUUUUUAAGUUUGAACCAUAGGGUGAUCAGACACCUGAUCGAAUCAUGAUUUGUUUGGUUCAACCAACUAUGUCGUUCGGUUCGUCAAAUAAUAGCAAAUAAAAAUCCUUUAGAAUAAUAAAGAAUCCACAAGAAUGGGAAGCAAGGUCAAAUUUCAAUCGGAAGUUUAGAUGAAACCAAGGAAAAGCACUUAAAAAUUACUAUUAAAUUGGAAAUGUAAUUGUACCUUUUUUUUAAUAUUUUUUAUGCAAUGUAAUGGUAAUUGCAUCUUCGCUAUUAGAAAUUCAAAACAUCAAAAUUUGACAACUAAAAAGAUAAAAGCAUUCUGCAUUUCAUUUUUUUUUCUUUUUCAAAAUUUCCAAGAGCUAAUUGGAUCAUCAAUAUAUGCAAAGCUAAAAUAAUAGACGCGUCAAAAAAAUUUAUUUUUUUGUUGUCUAAUUUAAACAAAAAAAUAAAACCAUCCACAUAAUACUAAUUUACACGAAGAAAUCAAUUUGCAUAAGAUUUAUUGAUAGUAAAUAGAUACUCAGAAAAAGGAAUAAAACUUAAACAAUAAAAAUUAGACAAACAUAUAGAAACAAUAGAUGUUAAUUUCUUGAAGAAAAUGAAUGAGAGAUUUUUAAGCACUUCAAACACUCGUGCCUAGAACGAGUAGUAGCAAGCAACCGCAUAAGCUGAAAUUCAUUGACAACGAAAAGAAAUGUGAGGAAAAAAAAAAAAAGGAUGACACAAAGCAUAUUAAAAAAAAAAAAGGGAAUCACAAAAGGUUGAUAAGUUUGUGACUUUUAUUUUACUCCAUUUUAUACUUGUAUACUUUAAAUUAGUCCGUGAAGUUGCAGAACAACAAACAUGCAUAAGCCCAAACCAAUGGAAGGGUUAUUCCAAUUCAAAUGGUGCUGGUCCAUUUUAGUCUUCAGUGUGUACCUUUUUUUUUUUUUUUUUAGUCUUCAGUGUGUACCUUAAAUAGUAAAUUUUGUGUGUAGUUAAAUUAUGUUCCAAGGGCUUCCAUUAAAAAUUUCUGUUCUAUUUUCCUUUUCCUAUCCCAUUUGAGGAGAGUUGGAGCCCCUUUUGUUCAUAAAUAAGGAAGAUUUAUUAAUGAGAUUGCUAGAAAUCAUCUAACAUGAUUUGUAUAACAAAAUCAGGAGGGACGUUUCAUAGAAAAUCACUACAAUUGGCAGAUCUUGCAUAAGAAGCUAGACUGUGUGCCAAUUUGUUUGUCUCUCUUGAAACCCAAUUUACAUUGACACAGUUUUGAUCUAGCAAAUACAUAUGAACACCAUCAAUUACAGUCCUUAUAUCAGAAAAAACAUCGUCUUUUAUCUCUAAGAAGCUAGAUAAUCGAUGAUGUCCACCUACAAAUGUGUAUUUAUGCCCACCUACAUUACGGGUCUGUUUGGUUGGAAGUAAAAUAUUUUCUGUGGAAGUAAUUUUCCAUGAAAAUCAUUUCCCUUUCAUCAUUUUCAGGUGUUUGGUUAGCUUAUUGAAAAUAUUUUCUUACUUCAUUUUUCUGGUGUUUGUUUAACUUUUGAAAUAUUUUUACUUUUAUUUCUAUUUUUACUUUCUACACAUUAUAACUACAUACUUCUUCCCAUGCAAAAUAAGAAAAUUUAUCUCAUUGUUUAACUUUAAAAAAUCUUGGAGAAAUGUAUAUAUGAAUAAAAAAUAUCUCCUUAAGCAAUAAACAAAUUGCUGGCCAUUUAGUGUCAAAUAUCAAUCACAUGCAAUACUUAUUGUGACAUAUAUCUUGCACUCUCACUGCUGAAAGUUUCUUUAGAAAAGAAUGCCCCUAUUAUACAUAAUUAAUUACUAGCAUAGGAUGAGCAGGAUGAGGUUUUUUUUUUUUUUUUGAAUAUACUAGGGGAGGGUUGGGUUGGGUGGUACGGGGGAGGGAGUGUAAGGAAGAGGUCUUGGGUUCGAGUUCUCCUGUUUACACUAAAAAAAAAAAGAGAACAUACUACAAGAUGUUUUCAGUAAGUUUGGAACAUACUACAGGCGGUAUGCAUGCAUUUCGGAAAACAACUUCAGUAAGUUUGGAACGGAAGUUGUUUUCCAUAAGAUGAGUGAAAAUAUUUUACAUAGGAAAAUGUUUUCAGCAACUUUUGUGCAACCAAACACGGGAAAUUAGGAAAAUAUUUUUCUGGAAAACAUUUUCACCCGAAACAAACGGACCCUACAUAUGGGAGUAUUUCCACGAAGUAUAAAUCGAUUCCUUAGUGAAAAUUGUGAUUUAUUUGGAUAACAUAUAGACAAAAUUCUUGUUUGUUGUGUAUACGCGUGAAUUAUACAGUUUGGAAUUCAAAUUUUGGUAAUAUUGAUUUUUCAUUUCAUUUGCUCCAAUGUGUUAUGAGCAGUGAAAAUUGACAAUUACACCUAUGUUAAGUUUGCUUCCUAGCUAGCCUCAGUGCUUCUGAGAAUUUCCUUCUGUAUGCAAAGUAAAAGAUGUAUUCAAUCCUUUUUUUAAAUAUAAAUAUACAUAAUGAUAUUAAUAAAUGUUAAUUAAAGAUAAUGUUUUGUAUAUAUUGUCAAUGCUCCAAUGUGAAGAAUUAGUAAAAUUCUUCUGCAUGCUUGUAUUAUUUUUUGACUCCGCCUAUGAAAGGCCAAUUUUAUCUAUAUUUUUAUGCCUUUUGGUAGAAAUUUGGUAAGUUAUUCUGAUGAAUAACGAAUGAGUAAAUCUUAUAUACACUGACAGUUUAUACACUAUCAUCGUUAGAUCCAUGACAUGUGUGUAAAAGUUGAAUUUCAAAUUCAAAUUUUGCAUAACUGUCAUUCAUCCAAUAUUGACAGUGUACUGUCGGUGUAGGAAAGAUUAAUCCAUAGUCAAUUGUAUCAACAAGGGUUUACUAAGUCAAUUACCUUUAUUGAUGUUGGAAAAUUUUCAAAAUUGGUCAGUUGAUGUCCAGCCCCCCGGUCUUUGGACUGGACAUUCAGCUAAACAUCACCAGAUUCUUGAAUUGAACAAAAUAUGCGAUGACCGACGCCGGUCUUUCGAUUAGACAUCACCUGAAGUCAGUCUAACGGUCAGAAAUUGAACAUAUUUGGUACCUCUUCAUGCUACAAUGGUUAGUCACCUUUUGAAUGGUGCUAGAACGUCUAGAAUGGUCUAAUAAACACUUACAAUAGUGUUUGAGAAAUCAUUUAGUUAGCCCAAUUCAAAGGAAAGAGACAUGUUUUGUAGACUAAAUAAUGUCACAAUUUGACCACUCACAAUCUCUACUAUGUAAAAGGCCUAGUAGGAGGUGGUUUGUUGCAGAAAAUCACUUGCUUGCUCUUUAAAAACUUCUGCAAAAACACACCAUUAUUCAAGUUGAUUUGUCUAACUUUGUGUAAGAAUUAAAGACAAACACCCUUCAAAAUAUGCCAAAGGAUAUUUGUUCAAGUCCUUUGCAAAUUAAAAAUCUAAACAAAUAAAGUCUAAAGGAAAGUGAUUUUGAGUUAUGAUUUAAAGCGAUUUUGUAUAAUUUCUAUUUUUAAUCAUUAGCUAUUUUUCUUGUAUUUUAUUUUUUUCCCCUAACAAUUGAGAUUAAAAAAAAGGCCUGAAAUAUUCUUCAAAAUUUUUCAAAAAAAUUUUGUGAAAACCAUGUCCAAACAGACCAAGUCUGGUGUCCAUCCUUCAAUCUUUUCAAUCUUUUGAACGAUUUUCCCUAAAUAAAACUCAGCCUUAAGGAAAUUUAGACAAAACAAACAACCAAACUAACUUUUGCAUGGAAAUCCUACGAAAAGAGAAAGUAUUGGGAGAGAAUAAACUCUCUAUAAAAUUUUAGGAGUGAGAAACUCUUAUUAGGAAAUUCUAUGAUGGAUAAUUUAUUACAGAAUUUUUUUAAAAAAAAAGAAGGACCAUUGGGAGAAGAGACCAUUGUUCUCUUCCGUGGCGCUAAGCAAAAGUUUUGAUGAACUGCCGAGAGGAAGCAGAGAGAAGGCUGAGAGAUUUUUUUUUUUCUUUUUGAUUUUAUGUUAUUAUUGCUAAUUACAUAAUAUUAUAGUGAGUUGAUAAUCUGGGAUUUGAUUAUUCCGAGACAGUUUAAACAUAUGAGCAAAGAUUAAUUGAAACAGCCAAAAAGAAUAGUACUCUAAGUUAUGGGAUUUUGACUUUCCAAAAGGAAGGGGCUCCCAAUAUGGUACAAGUUUGAUUGAUUUAUUAAAAACUAAAUGAUUGUGGAAUUGUACUUUGACGCUAAUCCCUCUUUUGCUUUCAUGAUUAGUUAAAAAUUUCAACAUUUAGACAGAUUCGUCCACGUAUACAACUAUCAAAGCUCAAUAAAAACAAAACCUCCAAUUUUGUUUGAUGUACUUAUUUUGCAUUAAUUUAUGGAUUUAAAUUAACUUUUGUUAAAAUCAAAAUCCAAGCUGCCCAAGGGAAAAUGAAUCUUUUCCAGGCUACCUUAUGUAUCUUGUGAGAAGUAGAUGAAUCAACAAUUGAAGCAAUCACAAUAAAAUAAAAUAAAAUAAAGAUGACCAAUAAUUUUGAUACAUAACACUAAACACCAAAGGUUUAAGUUGAUUUCCCACCAAAUUAUUUCCCCAAAUAACUUCCAAUAAUUUCUCUUUGUUGCACAAAUUAUUUUAAGUAAAUGUCCCACUUAAAAUCCAAUAGUCACCAAAACCAGUUUUUCAAUUAUGUUCUUAGUUGUCUUUUCUAAAUUAGAAUAUAAUAUGAAAAAAAGAUCCCACUAGCCCCUUGACAAUGACGCCAAUGUAGAAAACUCAUUUUUGGGUCAAUUAGCAUAGUGUGAACGCAUAUAAUGUCACGUAUGAUCUAACUAGCCGUAUUAUGGAGGAAGGUUCUUGGUGGGGAUGUGACUGCUUCGAUUCAAUCGCAAGAAUUAUUUAAAUAACAUAACAUGUCACACUCUGUAUUGAAUUGCAUACAAAAACUAAUCGAUGUCAAUGUGCACUAGUUAAUACACGUAAUUUGUACUUAAUUUAUCACUUAAGUGCUUAAAUUUAUAGUUAUUACUUCCUGCAAAAUAUUCAGUAGAUUGAAUUUUACGCUCCGUUGGCAAGUGAAUUUUUUGGGUGUUUAUCUAAAAUUUUACUGUAAUUUAUUGUAGAAGUUUUUAAAUUUUUUUUAAAUUAUGUAAUUUUUUUAAUAUUUUGAAGUGUAUAGCUUAAAAUUUUUUAAAAAAUUUUUGAGGUUACUGUAGUUAAAGUUUUUAAAAAAUUUAUAACAAAUAAACUUGGCAAAAAAUUCAAGUGCCAAGCAGAGCCUUAGUUUUACGAAAAAUAAACACCUGAAUCCUCUCUUGACCUGUGCAAAUUGAGAGACAAGCUCUAUAAGUAUUUAAAAUUGGGAAAUUUGCCAAAUUAGUCCCUAACAUUUAUCAAAAACACUUUUUAGUCCUUUACAUAUAAAAUCAGCCAAAAUGGUCCUUCACAUUUAAAUUGUGAGCCAAUGUGAUCCUAUUGCUCGUUUUUGCUCAUUUCUCCGGCUAAAAAUAGCACGCCUCUCUCACGUGGUCAUAUUUUUAGGGGCAAAACCGGAAACACAUUUCAUUACCUGUUAAAAGUAAAAGGUGUGGACAACCACCAAAAUACACAUUUCACCUUUGGCCCUCAAAGUUUCAAGAAACCCUAAAUUGCAUCCCACCGCCACGCCCUCAACUGACUCAGCCGCCUCCUCCCUCGCUAUCCCUUUUCCUCUCUCCACUGUCCGUCCUCCCCUCCCCCUCCUCAUCGCCAGCAUUUCUCCAACCUCCGGCAAGCUCUCUCCUUCGACGAUGAUAUUGAUGCGAGGGACUCGCAAGAUGAGGGAGAGGAUGAGGAAGAGCACCAGGAGGACGAGGAGGAGCUUCUCGAGCUGGAGCCCGAAUCGGAUCUUGCCGAGUCCGGGAAGCUGCCGAUGAGUUGUCUGUGGGAGGUGUUGAGGAGGCUCCCGCCUCCAACACUGUUGUCGGCGGCUAGGGUUUGCAAAGGAUGGAGGGACACGAGUAAGCGGCUUUGGCGGGCGGCGGAGGAGCUGAAGCUUAGGGUUCCAGCUAAGGCCCAAAUUGGAUUCGUGGGAUCGAUGUUGCACAAAUGUCCUGGACUUGUUAGACUCUCACUUAGAAUGGAAAGGUUAGGACUUUCGGAUAUAAGUAAACAAGAACCAGAUCUAUGGAUUCAUCAAGCACAUCACUUAUACAGGAGAAUUACAAAAUAAUUUUCGCCACCAUUCGGGGAUGCAAUUCAGGUUUCUUGAAACUUUGAGGGCCAAAGGUGAAAUGUGUAUUUUGGUGGUUGUCAACACCUUUUACUUUUAACAGGUAAUGAAAUGUGUUUCCGGUUUUGCCCCUAAAAAUAUGACCACGUGAGAGAGGCGUGCUAUUUUUAGCCAGAGAAAUGAGCAAAAACGAGCAAUAGGACCAUAUUGGCUCACAAUUUAAAUGUGAAGGACCAUUUUGGCUGAUUUUAUAUGUAAAGGACUAAAAAAGUGUUUUUGGUAAUUGUUAGGGACCAAUUUGGCAAAUUUCCCUUUAAAAUUUGUACUAAAUUAAAGCGGCAAAAUAAAUCGUUUGAAAAAGUUAUACUUGCUCGCACGUGCCUGGACAAAAUAAUUUUAUUGCAAUCAAAAGCAAAAAAAAAAAAAAAUGCAUCUUUUCCUUCUCGGAUGCUAGAAUAGAUUCUUGACAUGGAAUCGACUAAGAACAUUAAAAAUGCCCACAAAUGAUGGACAGAGAGGGAAAAAAAUGUCUUUAAUACGAUUUGGUGACUUUAAACUUGUUAAAAAUCAGUAAUAAAGUACCAUUAAUCAAUAACAUAAAGAUCCAAUAAAUUAUUCCCUCACACACCUAAAUUGUGCUUUUUUUUUUUUUGAUGAGUAGGUACCUGAAGUUUAUAUAUCCAUUUUCAUCUUUUAAAAGAAAUCUAAAAUGGGGGUAUUUUCUAAAACUCUUAUCAUAGAUGUAGAAAUGCAUUUAAAAGCAAUGUUUCCUUAAGGGUCUGUUUGGUUGGAAGUAAAAUGUUUUCCAUGGGAAAAUAUUUUCCGUGGAAGUAAUUUUCCAUGAAAAUCAUUUCCCUUUCAUCAUUUUCGGGUGUUUGGUUAACUUAUUGAAAAUAUUUUCUUACUUCAUUUUUCUGGUGUUUGUUUAACUUUUGAAAUAUUUUCACUUUUAUGUCUAUCCUUACUUUCUACACAUUAUAACUACAUACUUCUUCCCAUGCAAAAUAAGAAAAUUUAUCUCAUUGUUUAACUUUAAAAAAUCUUGAAGAAAUGUAUAUAUGAAUAAAAAAUAUCUCCUUAAGCAAUAAACAAAUUGCUAGCCAUUUAGUGUCAAAUAUCAAUCACAUGCAAUGCUUAUUGUGACAUAUAUCUUGCACUCUCACUGCUGAAAGUUUCUCUAGAAAAGAAUGUCCCUAUUAUACAUAAUUAAUUACUAGCAUAGGAUGAGUAGGAUGAUGUUUCUUUUUUAUUUUGAAUAUACUAGGGGGAGGGUUGGGUUGGGUGGUACGGGGGAGGGAGUGUAAGGAAGAGAUCUUGGGUUCGAGUCCUCCUGUUUACACUAAAAAAAAAAAAGAAUAUACUACAAGAUGUUUUCAGUAAGUUUGGAACAUACUACAGUCGGGAUGCAUGCAUUUCGGAAAACAACUUCAGUAAGUUUGGAAGGGAAGUUGUUUUCCAUAAGAUGAGUGAAAAUAUUUUACAUAGGAAAAUGUUUUCAGUAACUUUUGUGCAAUCAAACACGGGAAAUUAGGAAAAUAUUUUCACCCGAAACAAACGGACCCUAAAAGAUACAUUUACAUAAUGCAUUCUUUUUCAUGUGGUUAGCCAUUUACAAUUGCUCGCACAAUAAUUUACAAUCUGGACCAUUUACAAUUGCCUGUUUCUUUUUUCACACAGUUUAAGAAAAAAUAAUUAACUUUAUUGGAAAAGUAAAUUUAAAUUAGUAUUUUCCUAAAAUACCCUCACAUUAAAUGUAAUAUAACUUUAUGGGAACUUGAAUUGAUGGGAAAAAAAGAAUCAACUCUCAUUAAAUGAGAUAGGUUUAUAGUAACAACUACUUACAUUAAAUAAGGGUAUUUUAGAAAAAUUAAAAUACAACUACAUUCUUCUAUUGAAAAGUGGACUAUAAUUUGGGACAGAUGAAAAAGGAAUACAGGACUAUCAAAGUGGGACGGAGGGAGUAAUGAGUUAAUAAAAUGAUAAUAAGGCUUUGUUUGGAUAGAGUAUUAUUCUAAAUAAUUAUUUAGAAUAAUUAUUGUAACAUUUUUUAUGAUGUGAUGUAUGUGAGGUAAAAAGAUAAUUAAAACUAUAAAAAGACGAAUUGAAAAAUGUGCUUAUGAUAUACACAAAAAAAUUUUUUAAAAAAAUUGCUAUACAAACAUAGCCAAUCAUAAACGCUGGUACUGUUAUUGUAAAGGCCAUGUUCCUAAAUUGCAUAUUUAACUCGUGGUGAUUGCAGUGUUUUGAAAACCGGACCGGACCGGCCGGUUCGACCGGUCGAACCGCGAACCGGCCAUGGCUCCGGUCCGGUUCAAUGCCAGGUUUGACUUUGUCAAGAAACCGGUCAAAAACCGGUCAGACCGCGAAACCGCUGAACCGUAUCUGAACCGGUUAUUUCCGGUUUUUGAGUUUUCAAUUUUUUUUUUUUUUUUUUUUUUUUGCAAAAUGUUGUUAUUAAGAUUCGAACUCAAGACCUUUGUAAUAGAAGACCAAUGUAGUAACCGUUGCACUAUCACAUCUUAUUAGUUUUUUUUGGUAACUUAUUUAUAUAAAACAAACACUCAUAUUUCUUUUGUUCCAUUUUUUUUACAAAAUAUCAUCCUUUCAUGACUCUUUCUUUUUAAUCUUCAACACACAUACACACACACACACACUCUCUCUCUCAUCUUUUCUUUUGCCACUCAUUUUUUAAUCAAACCUCUUUAUUUUUAAUUUAUUGAUGUUUUCUUCCAUAUUUUAAUUUUGUUUUUGUUCAUUAAUUUAAAAAAGUUAAAAAAGAAUUAUUUUUCUUUAACCCAAUUUAUUUAAUACCACAACCACUCACUUUUAUCUCAUUUUUUGUUUCUUAUCAAAUUUGCAUUUCUAUUUUCAAUUCUCUUGAUUUUCUUCGAACUCCAAACUUCCUUUUUUAAAUUGUAAAUUUAAAUUCCAAAAUGUAAAUUAAAAUUUAAGUUCACAAUGUCUAAAUUCUCAUAGACAUGAAUUUUGUAUAAUUUCAAAUAUUGUGAUAUUUUUGGAUUAUAUUUAAGAUUUUUUUGGUAGAUAUAAUUGAAAUUGAGAUGAAAUUUAUUUGUUUUAACUUAUAAUUUAAAAAAUUUAUUUUAAAAAUCCAAAUUAUUCAAAAAUAGUAAACUUUUCAUCAUAUAAAGUAUUAAAUUAUCCAUUACAUGUCUUAUUUUGUGCAUAUAUAUAUUUAUAUAAAUUAUUUUUUAAAAAAUUUAUUGAACCGAGGUUGAACCGGUCCGACCGGUUGAACCUCGACCCUUUCACUUCACCGGUUCGAUUAACGGUCCGGUUUUUAAAACAUUGGGUGAUUGUUGUACCUUUUGUAUCCUGGCCAUAGGUUGCAUUGAAUCUAGUGUACAGAAGUUGAGUGCAGAGAAUCCAGCCGUACUGUGGUAAUGCCAGCAGGUCCUACAACUUCGUUGAAUAGUCAACAUUUUGUCAUUCUUGGCCCAAUCCCAAUUAUGCUUUGUAGUAUCUUACACUUUUAGCACUCCUAUUUCUUGGUAAUGCCUUUGUCCGUUGCACUUGUUCUUCUGGAGUUUCUCUUAACUGUCUAGUUUUAGGCUUUUAGCUAAGAUUAAUCUGUUCAUUUUCUCUCAAAUUCAAUCUUUGUCUCAUCCUUACUACUCGGUUUUGUGUGUUUCUCAGCUGAGUCUUGAGUCUUCUGAUCUUCUCUCACCCCCACUUGUUACUUUUCCAGCUAAGUCAGGAAAAUGUUCACAAAAACCAAAAAGGGAGAAAGAGUACUAUAUUACUUUUCCAACUUGGGCUCUCAGUCAAGUCAACUCUCAAGGAAGAAGAAAAAGCUAUUAAGUUUCCUGCAGCAUAUGUAAGCGGCUGAAAGUGCUUUUUACUUUUUUUUUUAUGCUUAAUUUUCAGAUUUCUUGAGCUCCGUGACUGCUUAUUAAAGCUAACAGAGUUUCUUGAACUAUAAUAUAGCAAUAUAGGAUAGUUUUUGUUUUCUCUGCGUUGAGAUUGAAAAAGGAUUUAGAGAUUUCUGGAUUGAAAAAUUUGCGGUGUAAUCAAGGAGUUGAUUUUUGUAUCGGUUUCUUGAUUGUUUUUGGGUUCAGGUUAUUGCUUGGCCUUCUCUUGUUGAAGGAUUGAGGGGUUGACUUGGCGUCUUUGGUGUUAUUCUGUAGUUUUUGCCCCUUUUUAGGUGGGAAACCGGAUUAUUUGAUGCUGUUGUGAGCAGGGAUUUGCUGUAGCUAUGGGAAUUGGCAACAGAUAGAAAGAAAAUCAAGUGAGGCCCAAGGGGGUUAUGGUCAUAGAAGUGUGAAUGGUUACUGAUUAAGUUUCCCCUUUAGAUCCUGCAGUUGGGUGUAUGCAGCUUGGGAGUGUACUUUAAUCAGUAUAGUGCUGAUUUACUGUGGAAAUAUUCGAGGUGUUCGGAGAAUUGUGGAGUUUGAUUACUCGUGUAAUUGCUGCAAAUUUACGCCUAUUUUUGGGUACAACUAUUGUUAGUCCUGCCUGGUUUUCAUUCCCUUUUUUGGUCAUAUUCCACUAUAAGGAUUUAUCACUUUGCACUACUGUAAUAUUGGCCGUUUAGUGUACAGUCUCAGCGGCAUGGUGUCUUCUACAUGGUGAAUUGUCUUUGGAAUGAAAAAUAUUCCCUACUUUUUGGAGAAUGAUUUUUGUAACGUGUAUGAUAUCCCCCAAAAGGAAUUAGCUAAGUAGUUAUGGAAAGUGGGAACGAACUUGUAUCUACCUUAAGCUUUGCUUCAUCUUCAUAUACAUCAAAUGGUUCCAGUAGCCACAAUAUGCCAUCUGCUGGUCAUGAGCCAGGGGCUAGUCUUGAUUUGUUGACUUUGACUAAAUUAAGUGGUAGUCUUGAGAAGCUUCUGCUUGAUGCUGAGUUCGACUACAGUGAUGCAGAGAUAGUGGUCGAAGGAACUUCUGUGGGUGUAAAUCGCUGUAUCUUGGCCUCACGAAGUCCAUUUUUCCAUGAUCUGUUUAAGAAGAGUAAUGCUGGCUCUGCAAAUGGAACUAAACCAAACUAUGUCAUGACAGAAUUGGUGCCCCGAGGAAAGAUUGGAUAUGAAACAUUCAUGGUUUUCUUGAAUUAUGUGUAUAGUGGAAAACUCAAGUCUUCUCCACCUGAGGUUUCAACAUGUGUUGAUGAGUCUUGUGCUCAUGAUGCAUGUGGCCCUGCAAUCAACUAUGCAGUGGAACUCAUGUACGCUUCUGCAACGUUUCAGAUGAAUGAACUUGUUUUGGUUGUUCAGGUGUGCUCUAAAUGCCUAUUUGGUUACAUGCUUCAUUUUCGGUUAUUCUGCUUGUUUUUGUACUAAACUUUGAUGGUUUAAUCUAGGCAAUAUGAGUGCUAUAUUCACAUUGAUGCCAACCAUUCUGAAGUCAGAAAGGUUUUGAAAUUGUAAAUGAGCUGUUAAUUCAUAAGGGAAAUACAGCACGUACUUUUGGCUUUUGAUUUCUAGUCCACUCCAGCAGGCAACCAAUCAAGGAUCAGAAAAUGAUUUUGCAAGGAUAGGGAAAACUAAAUGGAAGAACUUGUUCUGUGCUUCUAAAGUCGGAUACACUUUCAAAACUCGAUGUCAGUGAUAGAUAUUCUUUAUUGAACCUCCUUGUUAAGAACAACUCUAGAAAAUGUUUUCAACUCUGGUUUUUUAUGUCUGGAAAUUUACAAAUUAGUGCUGAACGUUGGGAAAUAUAGUAUGUGGGCAUUUUUACCCAACAACUCAUUUCCUAGUUUUUGGUUAGUUGAAACUUGCCUACAUAAAUGUAACACAUAUAUAAUCUGGUUUUAUACGGAACCAUGUUUCUGAUUUAUAUCUUGAUGCCAAUUGCUGUAAACAUGUUUCAGGGAAUUCCAAUUGCAUGAGCCAUAUUGCUCAAUUUGAAAGGGUUUAAUUUUGCCACGUAAACAUUGAGGCCGUUAUUGUCUUAACUCCAUUGGAUUACUCUUUGGCGUGCAUUUCACUUUCUUUCUCACUUCAAUUAAGUAGCCUGCAUUAAUUGAUUGUGAAGUUUUCUUGAAUUCAUCAUUCUUCAUCUUAAAGUGCUUAUUAUGGUUUCGAGCUGUAGUUUCUAUAACUAACUGUAAGAAUGUUUUCAUCUGCACCAUGUACCAGCAAGCUCUUGUAAACUUGAUGUUUAGAUAAGUUGCAUUAGCCUUUCCAAUCAAGUUUAUUCUAUGCUUUAAAUCAAGCUUGUUUCUUGCAUUACUGUAUCGACCAGUUCAUUCUUUUCAGCUUGCCUUGUUCCCAGUGUGUGUUAUGCUUUUUGUAAUAAAAAAGAUGUUCCUGAGUGCUAUCUUGCCUUUAGAAACAGGUUUCACAUCAGGUCCUUAUAAUUCUUUCUGGUGCUCAUUUCUUUUGCAUGCAGCGACGGCUUCUCACUUUGUGGAUAAGGCUUUUGUGGAAGAUGUGAUUCCCAUAACUAUAGUAGCCUUCCACUGCCAGCUGAACCAGCUUCUUUCACACAGUAUCCAGAGAAUAGCACGUUCAGAUCUAGAUGAUCUUACUCUUGAGAAGGAGCUUCCACAUGAAGUUCUGACUGAUAUCAAAUCCUUUAGGAAACAGUAUGACCAAGACCUGCAACAUGACAAUGGUGAAGUGAAUUUCAUCACUGACAAGAGAAUCAGAAGGAUACACAAAGCAUUGGACUCUGAUGAUGUAGAAUUGUUAAGAUUACUUUUGGAUGAAUCUGAUAUCACUUGGAUGCUGCUUUUGCCCUUCAUUAUGCUGCUGCCUAUUGCAAUCCUAAGGUGGUCACCGAGGUGCUCAGUCUGGGUAAUGCUAAUCUCAAUCUUAGGAAUUCUCGAGGAUACACUGUACUUCAUGUAGCAGCUAGGCGCAAGGAUCCAUCAGUAAUUGUGGGCCUACUGAGCAAGGGAGCAUGUGUCUCAGAUUCUACAGUUGAUGGACGAACAUCAAUUACUAUUUGCAGGAGGUUGACUAGGCCUAAGGAUUACAAUGAAUCAACAAAGCAGGGACAGGAGACUAAUAAAGACAAAUUAUGCAUAGAUGUCUUGGAGAGAGAAAUGCUCAGAAAUCCGCUUGCUGGUAAUAUGUCUAUGUCCUCAAUGAUGGUGGCAGAUGAUUUGGUUAUGAGGCUGCUGCUCCUCGAAAAUAGAGGUAACAUUCCCACCUACUAAAGAAGUUUUAACAUACAGUCCGUCACAUAGUUAAUAAACAUAAGUGACUUCAAGCUGAAACCAUCCUUGAGAACUUCCCAAAAAAAAAAGGCUUCUUGAAUGUGCAUCCAUUUGAUUGCAUUUGUAGAUUAUUUUCUUCAUCUUAAAGCUCUUAUGCAUCAAUGCCUGUGCUCUCGACAUUGCAUCAGCAGUUAUGAACACCAAACCUUCAGGCUGGUAAUAUGAUAUAAGAGUCAGAAAAUUCAAUUUCACUAGUGUCCACAGCCAUUUGUUGGGUCCAAUCUGUUCGGUUUCCUGGUGGAAUGGAAAUGAUAAUUAAAUACAACAUUCAUUUAGGAACACACUUCAAGCCUCAACUAAAUGUUGAGCAAAUGGCCCAGGUGUCCAGAGGAAUUUCUGGUAAACUUCUGCCCUUCUAAAAUGAGAAUAUGAAUCAGAGCAUAUUUUGAGGGGCUUUCUUGAGAUGUGGUUUCUUCUUCCUAACUGGUCAUCAAAUGUUCACUUUUCAUUUGAGAAACAUUUUGGCCCAGGUUAUGCAUCUUGUUUUUUAGACACAAAUUAAAGGAGAUAGUUCAAUUUUCUGUUGCUUUCGACUAUUCUGCGCCCGGAACAUGUACCAACUUUACAAGAGUAAUGCCUUGAGAGGUCAUCUGACAUUUAAGUGCCAAGAGAGUUCAUUGUGCUCUGAUUGUCUGUUGGAAAAACUGCUUCAGAUUGUGUCUGAAAGGAGGGAAAGUGUCCGUUCAUAAGCGAGAAAAGAUAGGAUGAAUAUGAUCCUCCUGAAGUAACAAAAAUAUACUUUUUUUCUUUAUAGAGAACUGAGUUUUACUUUUCUUUAUUUUAUCAGCUUGUCAAGAAAAGUCUGAUGAUCCAGCUACUACUUGCCAAUGCAAAGAACUUUAAUUUUGAGGGGCUUUCUUGAGAUGUGGUUUCUUCUUCCUAACUGUCAUCAAAUGUUUGCUUUUCAUUUGAGAAACAUUUUGGCCCAGGUUAUGCGUCUUGUUUUUUGACACAAAUUAAAGGAGAUAGUUCAAUUUUCUGUUGCUUUUCGACUAUUCUGCUCCCGGAACAUGUACCAACUUUACAAGAGUAAUGCCUUGAGAGGUCAUCUGACAUUUAAGUGCCAAGAGAGUUCAUUGUGCUCUGAUUGUCUGUUGGAAAAACUGCUUCAGAUUGUAUCUGAAAGGAGGGAAAGCGUCCGUUUAUAAGCGAGAAAAGAUAGGAUGAAUAUGAGCCUCCUGAAGUAACAAAAAUAUACUUUUGGUUCUUUAUAGAGAGCUGAGUUUCUUUAAUUAUCGGCUUGUCAAGAAAAGUCUGAUGAUCCGGCUACUACUUGCCAAUGCAAAGAACUUUAAUCUUGAUGAGCUGCAGAAAGUCUGUCCUCUUAAAGUUAGUCCUUUAGCUCUAAUGGAAUGUUCGAGUGACAGGCUUCUCAAAUUGAUACUCAGUUUUGUUUUGUUUCUGCAUUUGUUGUUUGUUGAUAUCCAAUAGAAUCAUAUGAGAUGAAAGGGUCCUAGUUAGAUACAUUUGUGUCAUGUUCAUUUCUUAAACAAUCUCCAACUUCCAGAAUUUGAAUGUGUGCUGAUAUUUUGGGUUUUUCCGUGCCAGUGGCCCUCGCGCGAGUAUUAUUUCCACGAGAAGCUAAGCUAGCAAUGGAAAUAGCAAAUGCACAUUCAACGUCAGAGUUUGCUGGCCUUGCAGCAUCUAAAGCCUCGUGUGGGAAUCUGAGAGAGGUUGAUUUAAAUGAGAUACCAUACGAGCAAGUAAAACGACUUCAAUUGCGGCUACAGGCCUUGCAGAAAACAGGUAAUUACAAUCUCGAGUACUCUUGGAACUUUGAAAUUAAAGUGACUGCAAGUUUGGGGGUUGCCAUUGUCAUCAACAAAGUGGAAAGGACUUAGUCGUGCAUUGAAUGAGUAAUUAAUAAAGGUCCAAGUUUGGUGAGUUGGUCUCCUAGCUUCUGAAAUUAUCUUUGUUGAGCAUUUUCUUCACUGAUGAAUAUACCCUGUGCCCCCUGCUAAUCUUGGAAUAUCCAACAGAGUAUAAUAAAAAAGCAAAAUGAACUUGCAUUUCACAUAGGAUUUUUUUUUUCUUCUUGGGUAAGCUUCCUGAACUUGUCAUUAAUAAUUAAGAGUACACCAGUGAAGGGGCAUAUCCCUUUGACUAGUACACCAAACGAAAGAGAAUUCAAAUCAGUAAGACUAAAAGCAAAGUAAGCAACUCUAUACAAAUAUAUACCUAUCAGUAUAAGAGUACAAGACUUGAAAACAGUAAAUGGAAUUCUUCACUCGUACAGAGCUGAGCAUUUUCUUGUUUCUUUCCACCUGUUUUUACCCCGCAAUAAUGUCACUUAGUUCUUUAAGAAUCUAUUGGAUAACCAAAGUAGGAGGAUAUAACUUGUUUGAAAACCUUCCUAUACCUGCUGUAGCAUACAUAGUGAACAGAUGCUGCAAAAGCUAGUCUACAGACUGAAGGCACAAAUGAAUCUUAAGAUCCACGUUUGAUCAUCCAUAGGAGCUCACGAUGCCACUCAAUAGCCUGCCUAAACAAAAGACACUUACUCGGGACAGCCUCCCAAAUCAAUGCAGAGUAAGGGCAUUAGAAAAAAAUAUGAGCAACAAUUUCAUCAGCAGCACAACAAAACUCACAGACAGGAUUUAUACGCAACCUCCACAAGCAUAAUCUGUCCUUCGUAGUUAUCAUUUUUCUACAAGCAAGCCAAAAAAUAUAUGAAAACCGCAAGUGAUGCUCCUUCCCCCAGACAACAGAGAACCAUGGCACUUUAGGACUAGAGCCACUAACUGCUUCAUAGUUGAUUUAGCAGAAUAAAUGGCACUCGCUGAUUUCACAUAGGAAUUACUAUUGCUAAAUUCCUCUUUGGUUGUCUGAAGUCAUACACAUAUCAGUAUCACACAAGGAAAAAAAAUCCUAAAGUUUUGCAUAUAUUAACUGUAAUGUACUAGAAAUUUAUAGUUUUGAAGAGAAUGGUACCCUUCAUUUGUCUGCUUACAAUAAUCCAAGAUUGCAGUGAAAUUUAAGCAAAGAAAUGAAAAGCUAUUUCACGUAUUUACUAAGAUUCUUAAGAUAGUUGGAACGCUAAACUUAAAAUUACCAAAAACCAGUAUCUACUUUGUUGAGAUUUGAAAAGAUGAUAGAUUUAAAGGUUCCAGGUGCAAGUCACUUUCCCUUUGGUUCAUGGAGCAUUGCAGGUACCAUCUAUAUAUAUAUAUAUAUCUAAUAUUGCAGUAUCUUUUGUCAUAACAGUGGAGACUGGCCGGCGCUUUUUCCCCAAUUGCUCAGAAGUUCUGGAUAGGUUCCUGGAGGAUGACAUGCAAGAAACUCUGCUCUUGGAGAAUGGUCCACUGGAGGAGCACAGUACAAAGAAGAUGCGAUACAUGGAACUUAAGGACGAGGUUUUGAAGGCUUUCGAUAAAGAUAAAGCUGAAAAUAACUGGGUGGGCUUGUCAUCGUCUUCCUCGUGCUCAUCUUCUCCCAAGGCUAUUGCUCACCACAAGGCUAAGAAAAGGCAAUUGUUUUAAAUUUUGCUCUUAGGUAGUGUUAGUCAGUGUGAAAAUGUAAUACCCCAUAAACAGUUAUAUGUAUACUUUGCCCUUAUAGAUUUUCUUUUCUUUCAUCAGUCCAAAUUUGGUUGACAGCAAGUCCAUCUGUAAAAUUUUCCCAUAGGGAGUAAGCUUACACUCCGUGUAGGUAUAUGUCCUGAUGAUUACUGACUGAACAAAGAGGUUACUGUUAUUUGUAUAGUAUUACUGCAUCAGCGGUUCUUGAGGGGUAGAAUUUUUCUUGUGAUUUAUGCUUUGAGAUACAAAAUAUUAUUACUAGCAGGGCAGGAUUUUUCAACUGUUAUAAAGCAGGAACUAAGCUGGAAAUCUGUUGCACUAAAGUUUGAGAACGUUAUGCGAGUGAAUUAGGAUCUUCUUUUCCUCCCCUAGAGUCCUGCUUGAAUUACUUGCCUUUUGUUUUUCUUUAAUUGUUCUUUCUGUAAGAAAAUCUCUUCAAAAGGACUAAUGAUACAAUGUCAGAAGCAAUUAGCAAAAGAACCACAAGAUCAGCAGCAGAAAUAUGUGGUGGUGACAGAAUACUUACAUUUCACUUUAACUAAUAAUCAAUCCUAUUUACAAACCAUGUGAUUAAAACUGCUCUGCAAAUCUUUCCGGUGUUUUGGACUGUACAUAUGAAAUCUUCUUUUCUUGAUCCAAAACGUCUUGUUUUUGGCUGGAAACUGACUAGGAGACUUUGACUUAGUAUUCAACAUUGGAUUUAACAAACUCUAGCGCAGAGGAAACCAACCCUUCAAUUCCAAGAUCAGCUGUUGUGUCCAGAACUAGCUUUGGUACCUCACCAACAUCAUAAUCCCAACACCCUGCAUAGCAUCCAAUAAGUUCUCCAUUUCCUGCCAAGUUUUGGCUUGUGCCAACUUGAUCCAUCAGCCGCGCCUCGCAGCUCAAGCCGUCUAUGCCACUCGCCUACAUCCUGUGGCUUACAUUCGACUACAACAAGCCGAGCAUUAGUCUCAGCUGCCAACUUGAUUAGCCGGUCAGGUGGGCCCUACGAGAAAGCGGCGAAUCCACGACUACACUCAGCCCCAAGCUAAGCUGAGCUGAGGCCACCUUCCAGAUAACUUCAUAGGAUAAGUCAUUUAGGAGUUUAGAUGCUGUAGUAGGAGAGGCUAACAUGAGGGUUUCUUGCAAUGAUUUUGUGCAGUCUCUGAAAUGGUCUUUGUCUAUUAAAGGGCAUCUGAGGGCCUUGGCCAGGGAAUGAGCUAGUGUACUUUUACCACUUCCUGGAUGGCCUUUCAUUGCUAUGAUAAUUGGCCUUUCUUGAUUAUCAGCAUCACCAUUCACUUUGAUCCUUUUCUCCAUUAACAGAAUCUGCUCUGCUUAUAUCCAAUUGAAGAUGGCUGAACUUGAAGGAUUUAAUGUGGAGAUGAAGAAUGAAGACAAUUCUUGUAUAAACCAAAGUUAUCAAGAUAGUUGGAAAUCUUUGUCC
This 59050-nucleotide long non-coding RNA is filed under the name Coffea arabica (coffee). RNAcentral's name for it is "long non-coding RNA (CARA_LNC008249)". Lineage: Eukaryota; Viridiplantae; Streptophyta; Magnoliopsida; Gentianales; Rubiaceae. The record is from RNAcentral.